UUUUUUCGUAAUUUACCCUAAAUGGUAAUAUCCAAUAAAAAUAAAAUCGAAGAUUUUUAUUGGAAAGAAUAUGUGUGGACAACAAAUAGACAGCAGGGAGUAAGAAGUCUUUUCGCAACAAUGAGAAAUAAUAAAGACAAUCGCAAUCGUGGGGGCGAGGCUGUGCAAAUGCACACCCAACUAAUUGUCUCUCUAAAUGUGUGUCUAAUUGAUACACUCCUUAAGUAAUAUAAUUAAUUAAUUAAUUUUUUUAAUAUUUCUGAAUUAAUACUAUUUAAGGAAAUUUAUUUAAUCAUUUUCGUUGGCUUUCACAAUCAGACUAGUACAUUGGUUCUGCCGCUGACCUUAAUUCCUGUUAACUGAAAAUGAGGUGCGUAAUUGUCACCUCAACAACAAUCUAAUCUUUGUUAGUAGUACUAUUAUCUAUCAAUAAUGAUAUUUGUAUCGUUUGUCUCAAAUCUUUUAACAAAACUGACACGUGGACGGUGGAGAUUCAACUAUAAAAAGAAACAUUAUUAAUUCAUUAGCUAUUUGCAAAUUAUUCAUCCAGAGAAAAAUACAACAUGGAUGACAUUUCUCCAUCUCUACAAAUAUUGAUGAUUUAAGUUGUAAAUGCCACCAUGAUUUGGUGAGGCAGUUGGCAUUAUUGGUAUAAUAUAUUAAUAAAAUAUUAUUAUUAUUAUUAUUAUUAUUAUUAUUAUUAUUAUUAUUAUCUGAUGUGAUUUGUAGUCAAUUAAUCACCUCAGAAACUAUAGUGUAUCUUGCUUAUAUAGAUAUAUUGAUAUUACAAUACUACCAAUAUUUAUCAUUUAAAAAAUAGUUCAAAACAAGAAGAAAAAUAAAGAAAAGCAAGAACCACAAUAAUGGGACUGGUCCCCAAACAAUAAUCAGAAAAAUCUAUUAUUUUUAUAAUUUUUUAAAUCGCUGGAAUUCAUUGAAUUUUCUAAAAAAUCUAGAUUUGAGUAAACGCAAGUUUCGUUUGCACAGAAUCAAUGCAAGUUUUGUUCGACGUAUUUCUUACCUAAUAUCAAGUCUUUGCAUUCGGAUCAAGUUUCCUGCAUGAGGCUCUAACUGAACAACGAUUCAGCAAGCAGAAGAAUGUUAGAUUAAUUGACAAAAUGACCGUAAUCUAACCAAAAUCUCAUGAUUACAAAACUGUCGUUUUUUCUAAGUCGAACUCUCGGUUUUUCAGAAUCUCUCUUAAGAAAAAGGGAAGUUUUCUGCUACAACAGUGAGUGAGGUAGGUACUUCCGGACUAAUUUCUUCCAAAUAAAUAAACCUCGAAGUCCCUAAAUUUUAAUACACAAAACAUCACCUCCAUUACAUGCUUCUGCUUACGGUCAACUGUUUGAGUGUGCACAUCUACUUCUUCUUCUUUGAUUUGUUGGACUGAGAUUGAGUAUAAGCAGUUCCCUGAACAUAUUAAUAAAUAUAAGCCAUUAUUCCAUCUUGCUAGCGUCAAUAUAAAACAAAAUAAAACAAAACCAGAAGUCAAAAAUAAAAAUCGAAAAUAUAAAGAAUGUGAAUGCAGUCAUACAAACCUGCAACCACUCGUCCAUUGAGGCAUCAGUUGUCCCGGUUCCAACUUCCACCUUUGGUGCCCUCUUGGUUUUCUGAUUAUCAAAACCGAGAGAAAAAAAAGGUGAAUAAAUUUUUCAUAAAUAAAUGCAUUUGCUAAAUACAUCAAGUGAACGUCAAAAAGUAAGAUCCUUUGUCCAAUUUUCGAGCCAUAUAUAUAUUACUAAAUUGCAAAUCACAAAAGUGAAAAGUUGAACUGGUAAUGUUUUCAACUAACACUCGUUACUUACCCCCCCCCUUUUUACCUAACAACAAUCAAUCAUCAAUUAAGCAUUUUUUGACUAACAUAUCUGAGUUUAUACAAGUGUAUUAGCAUUAGAGAUACCAAUUGCAGAUUUACUUCUAUCAUGAAUGUAAUAAUGGCUUAAAGCAAUUGCAAAAACAAAUAGAGACAAUUGCAGGAAAUUUUUUGCACAUAUUCUAAAGGCUACGGCAUGCCAGAAUUUAGUGGCCAGCAAACAAUACCAUUUGCUAGCUCUUAGUUAUUGCUAUUUUUUUAUAUUUCCUGAACUUUCUAUAGCACGUACAUUGUUCGAUGCUUUCUGAAACCUUUCGUAGCAUAAUUAAGAAUUAGUACAAGCGAAAAAGAAAAAAAGAAAAUUAAGAUUACCUUGGAAAAUUGUUGAAUUUGGUUACGUAUCCAAAAUCCAAGAAGACCAAGAAGAGCUAUUCCAAGGCAAAACAAGAAUACUGACUCAACACUGAACAUGCCGCCUGACUCAGUAACUUCAAUUGUCCCGUUGUAGAAGGUACUCUGGUAUGGGUGUUGGUCAAUCUCAUAAACGAUAGUUCCCACAAGAUCAUAUGCACCAGCCUGUAAGAUGAAUCAAAUAAAUAAAUAGCAGCGGAAUGAGCCACUAGAUGUAAUAGAAAAUAUGAAGGAAAACUUAAAACAUUUUCUACAACUUACCUGCAAAAACUUGCUAACGCCAAAUAUAUAAGGGAAAGAAGCUUGAGAUGACGGGGGAACUGAUGCAUUCUUAAAAGCCUAAAAGAAACAAAAUAUUCACAUUACGAACAAAAGCCUACAAGAAAUCAUAUUAAGCAAGAAAAAAACAAAGGCAGUUCCUGAUCCAUAAUUUGAAGAUACAUGUUAUGUCUGAUGGAAUUAUGUAAAACUGGAAAACAUUAAAUAGCUCAACCAACUCAAACAAGGCGCUAACUCAAACGAGGAAUAUGGAAUACCAAUAAGCGGGAUAACUAUGAUAAACCAGGAUGACAUGUUAACAUAUGGUAAUGGUCAAACAUUUUGUGUUUGUAUGUUUAUAAGCCAGAAACCAAAGAUAAAAUGUUUUUCAUUUAUAAUUUUCGUACAUCACAAGACUUACAAAGAUAUGUCCUGAUGGGACAGAAAACAAUUUCUAGCAGCAUAGGCUGACAACAUAAACAUAGUCCAUUGACUUCACCAGCAUAACUAGGAUGAGAUUUUUUUACGGACACAGAUUAACUGCACAUAAAGUAAAGAUGUGAUACCUGGGUAGAAAGAUUCUGAAGCAAGUAGUGGUAAUUAUAAGGAAGAUGAACGCUAGCCUGGAUGGCAAUGACAUUAAUAACUGAUUGCCCUGUGAUUAUAUCAAAAACACGAUAAGUAACAAUUAGCUCUGCAAAUAGUUAACAGUUGCACCUACAUGAAAACCAAUAUUAGAUGAAGGGAGUAAAAGCCAAAAAUAACAGCUAAAUAAAUAAAGGCUAGAGGGUAUGACACGACAGACAAAAUUCAGAAGCAAGUGACAGAAUAAGAAACAAAACUUCAUUAAAUGAAAUGAUUAGAAAACACUUGAGCACAACAAUUCAACAAAGCAUUACCGUCAUUUUUAAUUCCAACGAGAAGUUCACUUUCUUCACCAGCCACUACAUCUGCAAAAUGACAGGACUAAGUUAGAGACACAAUUCAAAGGACAAUAGAGAGAAACAAGAAUACACCAGUUGGCAAUAAAGAUAUCAGUCAAUGAUUUUUUUCUUCCUAUUAUCUUAUUUGUUUUUCGGGGUGGGGGCGGUAGAAAGUACAAAAACAAUCACUAACUUUUCGAGGGGUUUUUGGGAAAAAGACAAACUGUUUCCACUUCUGGAGCUGGACUGAAAUUCCCACUGCUAAAAUCUUGGACAUCAUCACCAACAAUCCCGAGAUCCGCUCCUUCAUCAGCUGACUCAACAAUAUCUGCGUCAGGGUCCGGCUCACAUCUUGCAACUACCAAGCAAAAUAGUGUAGUUAAGAUACUGUUGAGUGUAUGUAGUUGUGCUCAAGUAUAAUUUGUAUGGAUCAUAGAAACCUUAAAAAUUAGUUCGAGGAUCCAAGUAAAUUAGAAAACAGGAUUUAAUCUAAAACAUGAAAUUAGUACAGACUACAUAAGUGGAUAAAGGGGAAACUGAAUUAUAAGGACUGGUGAGGAACACAAAAUCGGCAAACUGUUUCUUCAAACAAAUGAAAUAAAAAGCUUAAAUCAACCCCUUCAAAUCUGGAUUCAGUGAGAUUUUCGAAAUAGUGAAGUCCAUUUCACAUCGGAAUGCAGACUCAAUUUUAACAGAGUAUCCCUCAAAUAGGACAGCUCUCACUCAUUAUUUAUACCGACUCCCAGGCACUAAGGCAAACAAUUGAAAAGGGAAUGCAUUCAGAAUACUCGAUCAUUAAAAGCUUUAUCAACUCCAUAACUAACACAAUCUCAAAUCUCAACACAUAAAUACUAAAAAUCAAUAUAUAAAUAAAUAAACGCCAAUUAAACGAUAUAAAUCAGCAAAAAACAUGAAAAUGAGUCUCGAUCUGAUUUUAACGGCGCUACAGGCAAAACCAAAUGCAGAUGAAACACUAAACCCUAGAAAAAUUCACGCUGCAAUUCGAAAUUAUCCGUGCAUGUACAUGCACAGAGACAUGGAUGCUUAAUUACAACUGUAACUUAAAAAAAAACACACAGUUUUCCCCAAAAAAGAAAAAAAAGAGCAGAAAUCAAAAGUGGAGAAAUCUGAAUAGAAUAAGGAUCUGGAUCUGAGAUGCAUACCUUGAAGAAUUGAUGAAGAGAGAAGGAGCAGGGAGAGGGCGAGGAUGAGAAAACCCCUAAUUGACAUUUCGCUUCUUUAUUAUUGCUUAGAACAAAACAGAGUGUUGUGAGAAUGGGGAAUUGUGUGCGUGAGGAACGAGAAACAAGGAAAACCUUUUUAACGCGUGGACCGGAGAGGGUCAAAACGGGUAAAAAUUAUUUCAUGGGCCACAAGUUGAAAUAUCCAGUUUCAUGUGGCCAAAAUGCAAAUAUUUCAUAUCUCAGUACGCGCGAUCGUUGACCUAGUCGACGGAGUUUAGCCACUUCAUUUGGACCUUUGGUUAUGUUGUCAAUAAAAUUAAAACUUAAUAAAAUUAUAUUUCUAUAUUAUUCUUGAGAUUACGUUUAACAACAAUUAAACUUUAUUUAGUUUGAAAUUAGAGUUUUAAUUAAGGUUAAAAUCCAAGUCAAAAUCAAUUAAAAAUAUUUUUAAUAAGUAACUGCGAUUAGUUUUUUUUUUCGUUUGAAAAUUGACAGAAAUCACUCCAGUUUAAUUGAGGGUAGAAAUGAAAGUCAAUACCAAUUAAUGACAUUUUGCCAUUUUUAUCAGCUACUAAAACAAAUCUUUUAGAUAAAUUACACAAAGCCCCCACUAGUUUAGGUGUAAUUAUAUUUAGAUCCUCAAGUUUAAAAAUUUACCAAAAAAAAAACCUUACUUCGAACAGAAAAAAAGAAGAAAAAAAAAAGAGUUGGGUUCAACAGUUAGUUCUGAUACCAAGUGUUGUGACACCAAUAGUAGAAUAAAAGUUCCUUGAAUUUAGACAUAAAACUAGAUUUGUUCUAACUGCUGAAAGAUCAACAGCUAAAGACCAAAGGAAACUAGCACUGAAUUAAAUCAAUCCCCAUGGAUAGUGUAUCGCUCCCAUUUCUUUGUCGGAUCGUAUAUCUGCACAAUGAAGAUACCAGGAUUUACAAUCAAACGGAAGAAGGUAAAAAAAAAAAAAAACUCGUAUAAGGUUACCGAGUAUAGUGAAAAAAACUAGAGAGAGAGAGAGAGGGGCGUAGGUUUACCUCCCAUCUUGAAGCUGGAAAUAUAUGCUUGUUCUUCUCAUACCAAUGUCUCUCAACAACUUUACCAGCAUGCGACUGUUGACAAAGUAUGCUAGAUUACUUCAGUGUGUGGAUGAUAAUGUCUAUCCAACUUCCACAGAAAUCACAAUAGUCGUGCAGAUAGAUAAAUGCAUUAUAAUUGAUAUAUUCAAUUAGCUAGUAUGGCAUAUAUAUGUCAACCCCAAUACAGAGCACGAACAAUACAUACACAUACAUACAUAAGCCCCUCAAGAAUAUUCAUAAAAGAUGAAAAGGAAUGGAACUUAUGCAGUUAUUAAAAUAAUUCACAAUUUUAAAUUUAUGGAGGGAGUCCAAAAACAAACACUUGCAUCACUAUAUAUUAAAUUGAAUACUGGAAAUAAAUUCUGCUAUAUAAACCAAAUAUGCAAAUACGGGACUCAAAAUGUAGCUCCUCCAUAUUACUUCUUGAGACCAUAAAAGUGACAAAACAUGAGACUGAUUUCCCAUUACAAGUGGAACUAAUGUUAUGUCAAGAAACCUUACCUCAUCUUUCUCUUUUGUCGCGUCAGCAAUAGUCCGAACAUCCUCAUGUACGUCAAAAUGGAAAAGCUGUAACAAACCCAACAGUUUAAAACACAUGCACCAAAAAUUUCGUUCAACAUUACAUGUUAAGAGGCUACUAGAAGAAUUUAUUAUAUUAUUAGACAGUAGGGCCAAGAAAAUAAUGAAGAAUGGGCCAGGAUUCGCCUCAAGAACUCUGAAAUAGAGGAAUCUGGCCAAUAUCAUGUUAUAUCAACUGACUCUCAGCUGAAACGUAAAUUUAUGACAUUAUACUGAAUUUCUUCGCUCAAAAUGCAAGAGUGUUGUACGUCUCAAUUUAACCUUUUCCAUUAGCAACAACAAGUACAUAAAUGAGGCAUCCCGAGAAUUUCUAUUGAAAGAAUUUCAGUAUAACUUCAGCACCAAGUGCUGAGGAUUGCAAAUCAACCCCUUUUUCCACAUCCAUUUUGACAUCAAGAAAGGAAUAAAUUCCAAGCUAAAGUUUACAAUCAUAAUUGAUGAUCAAAUCCUCUCAUAAAUCUAUUUUUCUUGAAGUUGUUCAGUAGAGUAAUGGUCUGAAGGAAAUUUUAUGUGGCCGACGACUUAUGGUGUAUCAUUAGAACUAGUUUUUAAUGAUGAUAAUAAAAAUCACACAAAUUUGAAUUAAGCAAUCUAUUCACGAAAAUAUAGUUAGCUCAUAAUACUUCAAAUGCGCAAAUGUUUAGAGACUGAAAAUCAAGACAUUACCGGUCCACUUUUGCCUCUAGCCUUGUUCACAAUCAGCUCAUAGAAACUGUGUUGCUGUAACAUGAAGAGGAAUUUUAACACGUUUUUGCAAUUUAUAAAUUGGGACAAGAUGAGAAAAGUGUAUGAACGAAGGUCUUACAUGUGGAAUGAUGAGAUCUUCUUUCACAUAAAGCAAGUUCUCAACUGAAGUAGUCCGAACUUCUCGGAACUCAGGAGAAAGCUGCUGCUGAACAGCACGAAGAAACUCCCCUAUUGUAUCACCUUUCCGAACCUGAUAGGUUAAACGAUACACUUAAUGAGUUUCAACAAAUCCCUUUAAAAUAAACAAAUAUGAAAUCAGAAACAUAAUAGGUCGUUGAAUAAGACGAAUAUGAGGUAAUCAUAAACCUGAGUCACUCGUCGAUGGCCAGUACCAUCCCAAUAACUGUAAGUGAUUUGAAGAGGCUCGUCUAAAAGAUACAAAAAAGGGCAUUGAAAUCAGAAAAAAGUUGCUUAAUAUGAAAUUUUAUACUCAUUAGUGCACGUUAGAUUUCAAGACUAACUUUUGAUCUGUGCCUGCUCAAGAAGCCACUGUUUGCGCAAACGUUCACGCUCAGCCUGUUCCUCUGCCUCCCUCUCACUGUAAGAGUGUGCUUCAAACUCCAAAGAUCAAGGAUGAGUAAAAAGUUGAAAUUCAUGGGCAAGUGAUUUAAUAGAAAAGAACGAAUACGCAACAACCAUGUGUGAAUAUUUAAACUGGUACAGAUCUAAAAGGGUAAGAAGUGAAAGGAAUACAAGGGUAAAAAAGAAAUGGAUAGAUUACCCACCUAUCGGGCAAAAAGCUGGUUUCGACUGUAGGGUCUUUUCCAAGUUUUCCGAAUUUUCGGCGGCCAUGGCCUUCAGAGUCUUCAUCUUAAGACACAUAAGACAAGAAAAUGCAUCAGUGAGGAUUGUUAAAAAUCAUGUGCUUAUUCGAUCAACUUUUCAACGAAACGGUAACUGAAACUCGAUACUAGUUACAAUAAACAAAAUUUGUAUCACAUUAGACAGUUCAGACUGAGGUGAUAAAGAACAUAUAUAGAAAUCAAGUCUGGCCAAAUAAAUGAUAUCCACCUAAGUAAAUGAUUUCCUUUCAAAAGCAAACUAUCCUUUAGUGAAUGACCCUAAGCAAAAAUAAUAUAAAAAUAAUAAUAGAGACAUGCAAAAAGAAACUAAGUCGUGGAAAAUGCGAAAUUUGUUUCUUAAAAAAUUAAAAGGAUCAGCUCUGGAAUGCCAAAAGAUAUAAUGGAGUAUUGAAAUAUCAAAGAGGUAUCUCCUAGAAUAAUAAGAAGGGUAAUCGAAUCAGGCGGAGAUGCAAAUCCAUAUAUUUAAAGAUUUGUACAACAAAUACUAACUAACCACAUCAAUAACUAGUGCUGAAAGUACGAACAAAGAUGCUUACUAUUUUCCUCGUCUUCCUCCUCAUCGAAGCUCUCAAAAUCAUCAGCAAAAGAUAGUCGGGGGUCCGCCUUGAUUUUCCGCUUCUUCAAUUUCUGCAACUGAAGCUCCUCCUCCCUUCAAGAAAGAUAAAAAAGAUAUUAAAAAAACAUGAAAUAAAUAACAAGAUUAUUGCAAAUAAUAUUGGCAACUCACUCUUGCUGCAACUUUAGGAGCUUCUCCUUCUCUUCCUCUUCAAAUUUGUUCUUAAUAUUCACUCUCUGCAACACAAAAAGUACGUAUUGAACCACCGAAAAAUCCAGGUAAAAGGGAGGGGCAAAAAAAAAAAAACCAAAAGAAGAACUACUCAAAGUACCUUCUCAACAUAUUGUUCUCUAGUCACUAGACCAACGGUUUCUUUCUUGAAUGCAGUCUCGAGAAUCUGAGCAAUAAACACAAAUAGUUCAAAAUCAAUAAACCAGUAACUAUAAGGUACUAACAUCAUCGGUAUUGUUUCUAGUAAUUAAAAAAACAAAAACAGAAAUGCAAGGACUACUCCUCCCUCGUUUCAAUUGAAAUAUGUGGGGGCAACUUCAAAUUGUGUAUUAAUUGGUGAUAUCAAGUUAAAUAAUGAAGUACAUCAUAUACAUACGACCUAAUCGAACAAUGUGAUAUCUAGCUAAGAAAUUAUGCACUUAUGUAGCUCGAAAGGGAAAAUGAGAUGGAUACCUCGGAGGUGCUGGAACCGAAUUGAAGGAGACCAGGUUGGCCUUGUGAAGAGGCGGUUUUGUUCUUGAGCUCUUGGAUUUUGCGGCGCUCGGCUUCUCUCUGCUUCUCCAGCCGUCGGAUUCGAACGGCGUCCUGCGCCGUGCCCACGUAACCGUCGCCCAUACCCGCCAUGAUUGGAUUGAUCCUCGACGAACUAGGGUUUGGAUUCGCCGGUUAUUUUAGGGAAAUUGAAAUUGAAAUUGAAAUUGGGGGUUAGUGCCUCGAUGAGGUCGUGUUUUAAUUGGAAUGUUCUUCAACCGCGACUAUAGCGUACUUUUUCUUUUCUUUUUUAAUUAUUUGGGCUUGUGAAGAAGGGAAAUUGGGCCGGGCCGGCCCAUUUUGGGCCAACCAAAAAUUCCAACAACUCAUCUACAUACAAAUAGAGUAGGGUUGCAGACAAAUAUAAAUAAAUAUAUAAGCUUCUUUUUGGGCCUUCAUUUUUAUUUUAAUGAAGUGGGCUGAACUAUGGGCCUUUUGGGUCAAUAAACUCCAUCAAAAACUAUUUUCCUUUAUUAUUAUUAUUAUUAAAUUCUAAUUUUUAUUUUUUCCUUUUAUUAUCGAGAAAAAAAAAAUAUAAACCGGGGGCGGUGGUAGUCACGCACCACCAAAUCGCGUGGUGCAACGUGGUAGGUGGAGGCGAUUUAGCAAUAAAAAACGACGCCACAUAUUAGAGAGAUGUUUCUCUGACCCCUGGUAUUCAGAUAGAGAGAUAACACUGAGUGAACUCAGAGUUACAGUACCAACAAUCCCCCCACCAAUGGCCGUAGUAUCCACCUCACUCAGCGGCGCCACCGCCGUCACCGGCCAGUUGACUCAGUUCUCCGGCCUCCGCAAAUCUUUCCUCAAGCUCGACAACUCCAAUCACAACUCGACUCAGUCGCUUUUCCAAAAUGUCGACUCGCAUCUCCGCCUCGCUUCCUCUAAUAAAGGCUGCCGCGGCGUCGUUGCCAUGGCGGGAUCCGGCAAGGCGAGUCCCAAUUUUUUUUUUUUUGUUGCCUUUUUUUUUUUUUAAUUCUGGUUUAGUUAUUGGUUUAUUACGUGCAUUUCAGAUCUGAAAAUAAAAAAUAUAUAUAUAAUUGCACUUAGGGCUAGCUUUUGAAAUAAAAUUUAUUUUGAGGAAUUAAUCGAUAUCAUAAGAAAGAUGUUUAUGUUCAUGUAUAAAUGAUCGAUCAGUACCAGUGAAUACUAUAGAUUACAAAGAUCAACAAUACUGGUGCAUUUUUUUUUUUUUUUAUUUUGCCUUUUGUUAUUUGAGUUAUGUGUAGACUGCAAUGCUUCCAAUUCAUUUCUCAUGUCUACUCUGAAAGUAUUCCCAGCCCAAAUUCUCUCUUAUGCUUUGAAUUUAAAAAUUUCAUGUAAAUUCCUUGUUCAAAGUAAUGAUUUUUGUUUCCCUUUUGCUUGCAGUUCUUCGUUGGUGGAAACUGGAAAUGCGUAAGUAUUACUUUUCACCAUUCGCCAACUUUCAUUUUUGUUGCUUUUGCUUUGUCAUGGACUCAUGGUCAAUUAUUUGUAGCUUCCUUUUACUUUAAGUGAGAUGUUGAUUUGCGUAUUAGAAGUUCUAUGAUAAGGUGACAAGUGAUAGACAAUGAAUCGAUCUUCUAUUUAUAGCGAGUCUGGCAAGUUAUCGAAUCAAUAGAUGUACUGAAUUUAUUUAGGGAAGAGGAUACAUAGAGGAUACUGAAAGGACCUAAGAGCACAACAUACAAAAAAUCCAAAAUUUAAUGAAUGCUGAAAGUUAACACUUGACAGGAGAAACAAAAGGAUUAUAGUGUAAUGUAAUGUAUAAUUGUGUCUGACCCAUUACAGGAAGGCAGUCCAUCAUAUGCCAUUUAUAACUUGCUUCUGAGUAGCAUAUAUUAUAAUGUUUAUCCAAGAUUCUUCAUGUUCAGCUUCACACGGGCUAUAACUUGUGCUUAUUUGACUGUUCUUAUUAUGAAUUCUUCUUUUAGAUUUUUUCUCCUCAUGUCAGAAAUAAGCCAUAUUUUUAUGUUGAUUUGUCUUGAGUUGAAGAACUGAAAUCUACCAAAGUUACAAGGGGCCAUCCAAAUCCUAGUAUUUUAAGACCUAUCAACGUGAUUUGUUGUUCAUUUGUUCUCCUGUUGGUCUGAAGAUACAUGUUUAAAGCAUUAUUGUUUCUAUCUUCUGAUUACACUUUUCCUUCCUGGCUUGUGUUGUUCGAAUUGACUCAGAAUGGGACGAAAGACUCCAUAAGCAAGCUUGUUACCGAAUUGAACAGUGCUGCAUUGGAAUCUGAUGUUGGUGAGUUCUUAUGUACUAUCAAUACUUGGUGUUCAUUUCAUUUGGAUAAACUAAAGCUUGUAAGUUGUACUUAUUUUUGGUGGGUAUCUCUAAUUUGUGGUUAUGAUUUUGUUGGCUAAUAUAUCUACGUUACCUCAAUCAUUGCAGAUGUUGUUGUAGCUCCUCCUUUUGUUUACAUUGAUCAAGUAAAGAGCUCGUUAUCUGAUAGGAUCGAAAUAGCUGCCCAGAAUUGUUGGGUUGGAAAAGGUGGAGCUUUUACUGGAGAAAUUAGGUGUGUGAUUUCUGUACAUGUUGAUGCAAUCUCUACUCCACGACUUUGUUCCUUAAUUGGUACUCUGUUUGUGACAUGAAAUAUAAUUUACUUUAUCUUCUAACUUUUUUCCUGAAAAACUGUGUUUUGUGAUUUCAUUGCCCUUGGAUGGGUUAUCUCCUAUAGCAUUUGCUCUGUUUUCUUCUAUUGGCCUUAGAAAGGGCACUUGGUCUUUCCAAUUUGGAAAUGGUUAUUUUUUUUUUUUUGCAACAACCAUCUUAUUUGGUGGUGUACAAUUAAAUGGACACUUAAUUUCGUUCGAUUGCAUACUGUUUAAUUGCUUAUGUUGCCUUCUUCCUUCACACCUGAUCUGGUAUUUUCGUUGAAACAUUUGAGACUUCAUUGUGCUUGAUUCAUGUGUAGUAAUAAUAACACAAGUAAUCCUUUUAUUCACUGCAGUGUGGAACAAAUUCAAGACCUUGGAUGCAAGUGGGUUGUUCUUGGGCACUCUGAGCGAAGACAUGUAAUUGGAGAAGACGAUCAAGUAAGAGCAAUUGAAAGAUGUUUUCAUCUCUUUACAUAUAAUUUAGGAAAAUAAUUUGACAGAAUAUACCGUAGUUUUAUCAUGUUUGAUAAGUUUCCACCUUUUCUAGUUCCUACUAAAUCUGUUCUAUGUUUCAAAGCCUGAUCAAAAGUACUUCUUCUGUAGUUCAUCGGGAAGAAGGCUGCAUAUGCCCUGAGUCAAGGUGUAGGAGUAAUCGCAUGCAUUGGGGAGUUACUGGAAGAAAGAGAAGCUGGAAAAACCUUUGAUGUUUGUUUCAAGCAACUGAAGGCUUAUGCUGGCAAGUUUACACCCACACCCACAAAAUAUAUAUAUAUAUAUAUAUAUAUAUAUAUAGAGAGAGAGAGAGAGAGAGAGAGAGAGAGAGAGAGAGAGGCAUAUUGAUUAACCGUUUAUAGUGCUCGAAUGAUGUGCAGAUGCUGUCUCAAGUUGGGAUAACAUUGUGGUUGCAUAUGAGCCAGUAUGGGCAAUUGGAACCGGUAAAGUGGCCUCACCAGAGCAGGCUCAAGAAGUGCAUCUAGCUGUUCGCGAGUGGCUGAGCAAGAACGUAUCAGCCGAAGUUUCUUCUAAAACACGUAUCAUUUACGGAGGUACAUAAUAUUCAAUUUGUAGUUUUCCUGUUCAGAAAAUUCUCUUCAAGAAUCCACUACUUAAUCACAUAAUCAUACUACAUGACCAAUAAAUAUACCACUCCAACUCAUAAAGUCUCGAUUAUUCAAACUUAUUGUAACUAGCUAAAACUUUCUAAUUAUUAUUUUUCCCACAGGUUCGGUAAACGGAGGCAAUUGUGCUGAGCUUGCAAAGAAAGAAGAUAUUGAUGGAUUUCUAGUGGGAGGAGCAUCCCUAAAGGUAUUUUCUUCAAGAUUUCUAUUAUUGUUGGAGGGGCGUUUUCGUAUAUCGGCUUUUGGUCUCUAAUGAUUGGUCGAUUCUCGGUUAUUUUGUUCUGUAGGGUCCCGAAUUCGCCACUAUCAUUAACUCAGUGACUUCCAAGAAAGUGGCUGCAUGAUUUAUUGGAUCAACACAAAGAAUAAUGGCUCAGAGAAUCAAAUUAGUACACAGCGGCUGAAAUCAGGAGCCAUUAUCCUCUCCAUAAACAUGUAGUGAUUUAUUACAAAACACCCUAUCAUGUAAUUUUUGAAUCACAAUUCUUUUUCUUCUUCACCAGAAUAAUAAUAAUAAUGUAUUGUAGCAGUGGGUUCAAUAAGGUUUUGGUAAAACUUGCACUCUCAAUACUAGGAAUCAUGCAUCAGUUUUGGAAUUGUUUGUCUGCGUUUUUAUCUCAUAUUUUAUUACAAAUUUAUUUAUUGCAUGAAGAUUUGUACUCAUGGCUUUCAUUCACUGUAUGUGAACUAUUGAGAUGAGAAUAGAUACAAUUAGUUGUAUCUAAUACUUAUGGUACUUCAUUGAUCGCAGCAUGGGCUAUAUGCCUAUAUCUAUCUUCUUUAUAUUCUAUAUUCACUCAAAGGAGUUGUAUUAUUCACUGUACCUUUACACACACAUAUCCAUAUAUAUAUAUAUGAAUAAAAUAUUUCAUUUAUUUUAAAUUAAUGGCCGCUUAACUUUUCUUGUGCACAAGAAAAGGCUAAACGGCUGAUUAGUUUAAUUUAAUCCACAGGAAAUAAUAGACAAGGAGAAAUCAUUACACCUCCACUAUGUGUGGAUGUGUGUCUCCCACUUCAACAACUUUAACCUCAAAAUCAUGACUAAAUCAUGGUUGCGUGUUUUUAGCUUCUCAUAUUCUUUCUUUAUUACUCCCUACACAAGUUCUUGAAAAUGAGGCUAUGCAAUUAAUUAUUAUCCUUGAUUGAUUAAUUGCCCUGCAAACUUAUAAAAAACCAAGCUUUGCUUGUUAAUGUAAUAUUAAUACUAGAAAAACAGCCAUUAACACUUCUUAAAAAUGCAUUAAAAGAAAAUAAAAACUAUAAAGUCAUAAUUCAUAUAGCAAAAUGACCUCAUACAAACCAACUUUCAAGAAACACAGACUGGUACUGCACCAACACAAGCAACAACACUAUCAAAGCCGCCACCCCCCAUGGCGAGCCACCUUCCUCCGACGACCGGAAGUAGUUCCUCCGGCGACUGUCCCACGGCGGAGAAGUGCCGGGGAACCACCACUCCGGCCGGUUCUCAAGAGUCGACAGCCACCUAACGGCAAACAACAAGACAAGUGGGGCAGCCAUUAACAGCCACCCCAUACUCUCCUCAGCAGCUUCGACUACUGAUUCGUACGAAACGUACCAUUGAAGGCCGAGGAAGAGGAAGAUCAGACAAGAGAAUAGCAGAACUGGAUAUGGCAUAGGGUUUAAUGAGAAAGCCUCCAUUAUUGAGGAACUUGUGCUUCUUCUGUAUGCCAUAUUUUUACUCAACGAGUGUGUGUGUGUGUGUGUGAUUAUGAUCUCUCUCUCUCUCUCUCUCUCUCUCUCUCUCUCUCUCUCAAUUUCUAAUUUUGCUUUUUGGAUUUAUAUUCUUUUGUGGACUGAUUCAAGUGACAGUUGAGAAGGAUGGCCUGACUAAUAUAUAGCAGAGAUGACAUAAUCUGAUUAGAUCAGGUGUGCUGCUGUCUACUGGCUUAAGUUGCACCAGCUGUUUGUAGCCGUUGAUUUCAUUACAGAAAAUUAAAAAUAUAAUUUUUUAGACAUUCUUCGAGGCUUUUUAUAACAGCUCUCUGCGGUCAAGAUCAGUCAUGAUUUUAUUGAGAUUAAUUAUUAAUUAUAUCCCUAUGUAAUUCCACUUACAAGGUGAUGAUGAAUGCCAUUUGUUAAGCAACAUUUUGAUUAGAUUUAAAGGGCCCCACACACUAUUGCCCUUUAUAUUGAAUUUACACUACCCUACUUUGGUUGCUAUAAAAAAAUAAUAAAACAAAAAUUAAAAUUAAAAUACUUGAUCAAGAUAGGGCUAAAAAAUUAAAAAGUGGAAGAAUUGAAAAAAGUGUGCAGUUUUUUGGCACAAUUUUUAUCACACAUUCAUUUAGUGUAACCAAUCAACAUAUCACCCAGAGCAGUUUUCUACCUUGAGAGAUUUCGCAUCUCAAUUUGGCAUCUAAUAACUAACUACAGUUAUAAAUAGUAAUGAAAACCACAAAAUCAUCUGAAAAAAUAAGGCCAAAAAAUUAUAUUAAAUUAAAAGAUAACUGAAACAAAAUUUUCAAAAAUUAGACCUCAAACCCAUUCAUGGGACUUCCGUAUUGCCGCUUUUAUCACAACAUAUAUAUUACCUUAUAAUAAAUUGUCGACUUGUUACACGUUGGAAGAACAAAACUUGGCACAGGUACCAAAGAGAGUGAAAUCAGACUUUCCCGGUAUAUUGGAAAUUAUUCUCGUAAUCAUUCCGCAGAGCUGCCAGAGUACUUCUGCACGGACCCUCUACAGAAAACCAAAAAGCAGCAGGAAAAGAAAAAUAAAUAAAUCAGCCACGCAUUAUAAACUUCGAUAGAUAUAUAUAUAUAUAUAUAUAUAUAUAUAUAUAUAUAUAUAUAUUAAAUCGAACUGAGAUGGCUCACCUCCGAAUACAGUAUGCAGAUUUUGAAGCUCAUUAUCAGCUGAGCACAUGUCCAACAGAGCGUACACACCAGGCUUCAAAGCUUCAUCUACUUCCCUAGAAAAUAGGAAAAUCGUCUUAUGUGGAUGAGAAAGAAAAGAAGAAAUAAUCUCAUUUUCUAUAGAUCAAGUGAAGAUACGAGAGGCGAAAAAAAAAAAACCUUAUAAGGCCAUUUCCAGCUGGACCAAAUCCACAGUAAACCCAUAUGUAGCGAGACAAGAACUUGAAAGAAUGUUCCUUAAAUAAAUCUUUCUGCUGCCGUACCUGGAGAAUUGGUUAUUUAUUAUUAAUAGAACAUCACGGGAGGGAAAGUCUAACUUAACGAACUGCGUUAACAGAAACUAGAGAGAAAUGUGGGGCAGACAAAAGCUGAUGCCGCUAACUAGCAAAGUAAACUGCGAUAAAAGUUAAUGGUAUGUAAGCUUAUAAGACCAAGACUUGCAAAAUAGCUAUUAAAGUGAAAGGACUUGGAUACAAAUCCUCGAUUUGAUAGACCAACACUACGCCACAAAAUUUGACAAAGAAUUUAAAAAUGAUGGUACGCAAAGAAAGAGCAAGAUUAGUUCUUUAGAAAGACGUACACGAUUUCAUGCAGUAUACGUAUUUUUAGCAAUUAAGAUAAGAAAAGAAAACACACCUCUUCAUACACUCUUCGUAGACAACUGGCACAUUUUACUGCCUCUUGUACUUCCCAUGAAAAAGACUCUCUUCCAUCAACGUGGUGGACAUUUACAGUCUCUAAGCAAUGAAGAAGAACACUCACUGAAUCUUCUAGAAGAGCUAUGCAAUCGCGAGUCUCACUAAAAGAAACGGAGAGAGAAAAAAUAUUACAAAAAUUCACUCGAUAAAAGUGAUGAUGAACCCACCAAAAAAAAAAUAGCAUACCUUCCGUGAUUUUUAAUAGCAGUACAUAACAUACGGCAAGAUAUAGCAUAUAGCUCUACUGAAAACUUUCGAUCAAAGGCACAUUUGCUUGUUCCGAUAUCAGAUGAAAUGUUAACUAUUUGUAGCUGGAGUAAGUACUGAAAGAGUGCACCAGGUACACGUAGGCACUGCAUCAUGUGGCAAGCACCUUUCUUGAAGAAAAAGGGGUUCCGAGAAAUUUUUGUAAGAAUUUCAACACACAUGAGAACAACUGAACCAGAAUUAGGUCUCUCGUAAGCCUUGAUUGAUUCAACGUAAUCGUAGAAGAUAGUGGGACCCUGCAAAUGCAGGAUGACAUUGAAGAGACAAGCGACUAGGCUCUGUAUGUGUUCUUUGAUUGUACCUUCUAAAUGUUUAGACCCUGCAAAACACAAAAGAAACUGAGAAUACUAAAAUCCAUAUUAAAUUUUAUUACAGCUAUUCCCAAAACAACAUUAUGACUAGUUGCAAAAAUUGAUGCAGUAUGCCUUAGUAAUCACAGAAAACUCAGCAUUAUUUGACGUUCAUGAGUAUUAGUAAUCGAGAAUCUUACACCUGAAACUUUUGAACCCACCAAUUUCUAGCUAAACUAAUAUCUAAAUAGCAGUAUUAGUUUCAAAAUACCAGCCAACCCCUAUUGCAUCUCUAGGAAGUUUUCGUUUUCUGUCUUUGCGAUUUUCAAAAAAAACAACAAGAAAUGCAAACAAUUUAUGGCUGCAAGAUUAAGUAAAUACGAUGAGGAUGAAUUACCGGUUAAUAAAAGUUCAAGAAUUGAGUCCAAGCAAUCAAUACCACCAGCAACAAAAGAGGAGACCUCUCCUCCAUUUGAACUUCCACAAACUAUUUCGUAAUUUGCCAUCACGCCUUUCUGUUCACCAACUAAAGCUCUCUCAACAGCCACAAUAACAGAUAGUAAGUGCAACUCAGAUGACUUCUUCUCCAUGUACUUUCUAAACGAAAUCCUCAAUCUUUCCUUGAACUCGUCUAAUCGAUUUGUUUCCAAAGAAAUACAAGACUUUCCCUGAUUAUCUAACUUUGCUUCCUUUUUUUGCAAAGAGAUGCAUUUUCCGAUGACCUUCAAGUGUAAGCCAGUCAUCUUGGAAUAAAAGUCUCGGGACAAUGAAGGAUCAAAACGUGGAAAGUAACUACCUAGCUCUUCCAGAAAUUUUACAGCACCAUCUAACCAAAAGAAAGCAAAUUGAUGCGGCAUUUCCUCACUUCUUGAAAAUUCCAAAAGCAGAAAUUGAGCAAUAUCUACCACGAUUGCAAAUAAGCUCCACGGUAUAGAAGUCAGGUCAAUCUGCAUGUUCAACCUGACAACAACUGAACAAGCCAUAAACAGCUGACCGAGAAAGAAACUUGCCUCGGCAUUCUCGCCUCUGAAAAUUUGCAUUAACAGGGAUUUUUUCAAACAAAGUUUCUGAUGUUGAACCUGAGAUAGGAAAGCUUCAAGGUCUGAAAUUGCAGGGCAGGAUUGCUCCUCAAGAUUGCGUUUCAUAAGAACAUCCUUCGUACCAGACGAUACCAUUUUCCCUGACGGCUGAUCCUCAAGAAACGAUGCUUUUAUAAGAAAACUUAUAAAAUUCAUGCAUGAAUGUACAGAGGAAUUAAUUCUGGUCAUCAUUUUGGUAUUGUUGCUCAACUUCAUUCUGAAACUCUUAUUGUCCAAUGUAGAGGCCAGGCCCCACAAUAGUCCCUGGAAACAAGCAAUUGUGGACGAUAAUUUAUUCAAAUCUUGACAUCCCUUGUGAAGAAACUCGUCCUUGAAAGUGGUGAGAGACUUGUGCAUGUUUUCGUCUAAUGUGUCAGUUAAUUGUAAGACACUUUGAAGAUUGCAUUCGGAUAUGUCAGGCUCUACGGUUCCAGGUUUUAGGUUUUUUCUUUUUCGACGAAGCUUCCUAUCAGAGAGAAUAGAGCCAAUUUCAUGAUGAAAUUGAUCUUUACUUGCUAACAGCCACGCGUAAGAUGUGUAAUGCAACAUUGAAAAUAUAGCAACUUUAGCUUCAAAAGCAUUAUCUUCUGGAAAUGUAUUUUGAACUCCGAUUACAGCUGACAGUGAUUUUAGAAGCCAUGGCAGAGGCAGUGAGCAUUUUAAACUCCCACUCACAUUUACUUUUCCAGACGCUAAAGCUAAAGUAGGAAGAACCUUCCGACAGGUCACCAAUAAUCGAAAGAUCUGAUACGGAUUGUGAGAGCAUGAUUCACGGCGCCAUUCUAAUAAGCUGCUAACUAAAAGCCUGAAAUGCACAGAUAUAUUUAGUCCACUGCACAGUUAUAUUCGAAGAUUACUACAAAGUAGUAUAAAGUGAUAAAUGCAAACACAAGUCAACUAUACAUACCUUUCAAGGUUGAGAAUAUAGGUGAUAUACAGUGAUGAUGAUUCCAAACUCAAAUAUUCUUCUGGCAUUUGCACUAGAAGAGUGAGCAAACGUUGACAUUUUGCAAACUCGACAUUAAUUUGCUCGUUGCCAUUCUCAGCAGGCACCAUAUCUGGUUUCCUCCACGGAAAACCACCAAUUUGCACAUCAGAUGGUUUUUCAACUUCAGAUAAAACCUUGAUCCAAUCAGGCGACUCACUCAAAUCAACUCCAGAAGUAGCAAAUAUAGAUGACACUGACAUCUGCAAAAUCUUGCAGAAGCUUGAUGCCAUAUAUCUGCAAACAAACUGAGAUAGAAGGUCACUGACAACAUGAAAGUACAGGAAGUAGAAAGCAGAAAGAAAAGAAAAGAAAAAAGAUUGCAGACUAUUAACAGAGAUUCUUGGCCUAACGCAAAUUAAUUAGUGUGAGAACUUCUCCAAAUUGAAAUAACCAACAAAUUUGAAAUUCGAUAUAUUGAUUAUUAAAAUGAGAAAAUGUGAUUGGGAAGGAAAGAAAUCAGAUGGAGGAGAAUAAAAAUAUUGUUAUCUUACUCUUUGUUCAUAUGAUAUGGUGUUGCUCAAAAACUCCAACGCAAUCUGAUAGGCAGUUACUUUCUCCAGAUAAAUGGGCUUGUUCGUUGUAGAGUGGCAAUUAUCCUCAUUUAUAUACGAAAUGGAAGCCUGAAUAACAAGAGUCAAAAAUUUCUUCAAGUCCUUUUUGGCAGCAUGUGAGCACCAAAUAUCAACAUGUUGGCAAUUGGUCCACCAUAAUGCAUAUGCCAACGACUUCUCCUCCAAGGACCCUACAGAAAAACUCUUGUCUAUUCCACCACCAAAUGACGGAGCAAAUAUCUGGUCCUUGUAAAUUGACGAAAGGGACUCCAUCAUGAAUUUUGUAAGACCAACAGCUUCGUUUCUCAUUCUCGUAACACGCUUUUCCCAUUUUCUACAUGAAGAAUCAUCAGCAUCUUUCCACUGAAGCUUGUACUCAGAAGACCGUAUCAAUAAGUUUAACUCAACAAGUCUCUGAAGAGCCACAGCAUUUAAUACCCACACCAAUGGUGGGCAAAGUACAACAGAAUCUUGAGUACAAAUAUCUAAAACAGAAUGUAUAACAUCAAGAACAGUUGCCGGAGGUUGAAUAAUCGAGGACAAGAGGUCUUUUCCAAAAGAACCAGCCAUCUCCAACCAAUCACUUGCAGGACGAAUGGUUAAUGAAUCACUCAUUACUAGAGACAUCUUUUCUGAUUCACGAGGAGCCACAAGUCUGAUUGUUUGCCUAAAUAAGCUCCUGUAGGACAAUAUUAAACGAAAAAAGACCACCAAGAUCCAGCAUAUAGACACAUUGUCACAUCCAGUACUCUUACUCAAACUUACUCCAUCAACCAAAACACAGAUUUCUUGUGAUGAAACCAGGUUACUUAAACCAGGGCGUAUAAUUUCUAGCAAAUUCGUCAAGGAAACACCAAGAAGAUAACUAUUACCAGAAGUGACUGUUAUUGAAUCCAGAAUGAUAAUAUAUACUUCAGACAACACCUUCCCCAAGAGUUCUGCUCGCAAACGAAACUGCAGUGAGUCGCAUUUAUUUGAUUUUUCAGUUUUCAGCUGAUGCCCACAUUUUAUCCAGUCUAGAGAUUCCAUAAUAUCUGAACUUAAUUGCUUAAUGCAUCCAGAUGCUUGCCCUUCUGGUAUUGCCUUAAUAGCAUUGCCGAGAGAGAGCCUAAAUUUUGAAGAGCAUAAUAACAUGCUCAAUGCAUUUGAAUAGGAGGCAAAUUGAGUAUAUGCUUCACUGUCUCCGACGAGUGACGACGAAUGCCUCAGUGCUCUACAAAGUGAAGAUAUAGAAGAAUCCACCUACAAUAGUUCAAUUCAUAAAUUCAGAAAACUGCAAUCUUCGGUCAGACGGGAUACCAUAAAAAGAAAGCGGAAAGAAUGUAAUGCGUAAAGUUGAAAAAAGAAUAAUCCAGUUCCAUACUUCUGCUAUUACGUCUGUUCAGGCAAAUCAAAUACUUCAUGACAGAUUCACUAUCCAUGGCAAAGGGAAAUAUGGUUGAAUGCAUAACUUUCAAAUACUAAAUGGCAAGAUGUUGAUUGUUCUACAGAUGUAGAAGAGAACAGCUUAUAUUACUCUUUCAUGCAAUAAACAAUCGUGUACAUAUGCAGUAACAUAAUUUAUAAAUGUAAGCUUCAAUCUUCAAAGAGAUAAAAUGAGAGAAAAAAUUAAGAUAAAGCUGCUUAUUUCUCGUUCUCGAGGCCAUAUAAUAAAUUACACUGAACUUUUGGUUCAUGCAAAUGACAAAGCAAACAAAGUUACACACACACACACACACACACACACACACACACACACACACACACACACACACACAUAUAUAUAUAUAAAUAUGUACAUAUAUGCAUCUCUCUGACCUGCCGAAGUUCACUAUAAAGAUCAAUCAGCUUGCACCCUAGGCGAAGUAUCUCUGAGAACAGUAAUGGUUGACCCUCCACAUCCAUUGAGCUAUAGCAGCAUGCCGUAGAGGAGAAAACCAUGGCCCAUAAGCUCUCUAAAUCAUCCCCCACAACCUCAUACUCAAUGUCCAACAAGUGAUGUACUGUAACAAUAAGAUCCUUUCUAACUGAAAUAUAGAGUGAGUUCUGUGAUUUUUCAUCUGAUCCACAAGAAGAUGCUUUUUUAUGGGAAAUUUUAGAAGAGAUUGACAUGAGCGUGUCAUAGAUUAACUUCAGAAAAUUCAUGGCAGCCCCUUCAGACGUAUCCUCUGUUCUUAGAUAUAGCUUAUCGUUAAUGAAGCUGGCGAGUAAGUUAUUAAUGGAUCUUAUUGUGCUGGAAACAUUAAACAACGACACUGCUUCACCAUCUGAUUGAAGAUAUUUAUUGAGAUAUUCUAAUAGAUAUUCUAGAAUCUGUACAAAAUAAUCAAGGAUAGAUUUCCGCAGUUCUGCUUCCAUGCUAUGACUUACAGAAAUCUUUUUUGACGACACUUCUGAUUGCUUAGAAUCUCCUCCGUCGACUAAAACUCCCUUGUGCUUCGUAACGGAACUAACAAACAAGUGAAGCAGCUCCGCUAGACCAAUUAAUGGCGAUCCAUUCUUCUCAGCUAUCAUCUUCUCCACCUUAUCGAAUAGGUGUCUAUGAUAACUUUUAAUCGCAAUUUUUUCCUCCUUCACUGUUGCUGUCACUUCAGAAGAAUUUCUAUAUCUAUUACUACUCUGUAGGUUGAGAAAUCCGUCAAUGUGAGUUGGGUGGAACAGCCCCUGAGCUAAAACUUCUUCAAUCAGUUUAGGUAAAUUCGUCCAUUCGAUGCUACUGCCCCAAGAACUAGAAUGUAGCACAUGUGACGAGUGCAGAAGUGGCACAAGAAGCUUAUCAAUGAAAUUAUGGAAAUUGUUUUUACGUGUUGGAUGAAGCCUCAAAAACUUGGCAAAUGGCUCAAACAAACAGCACGAUAACUGCAAGACGAAAUAGCCUAGCUUGCUGCUCUCGAGCUGCAUUUUAACAACUUCCAAUACGAGUUCAAGCACUUUAUCCAUGAGCAAAAUCCACAAGUCCAUAUUCUGAUUUGCAACUCCACCAUGGGAUGAGAAGACCAAUGAGAUACAAUCAAGGGCAACUUCAUAAAGUUGCAGUCGCUCGACUGAUGUUCCCUCACAACAUAAGGACAUGUUAUUUAGAUUAGAUGAUGCGUCCAUUGUAAUGGAAUGAAUCACCCGUAACAAGUCCUUAUAACAUAUCAAUUGAAGAUGAAAGGUUUUCGACUUCUCCAAGCAGAAAUGAAAAAUCUUCCAGCACUUAAGAUCCAAAACUGAACCAGAAGCUCCAAACUCAGGUUUCUUUUCUUCAAGUUUCGUCUUCUUUUCGGAAGAUAUGAGAACUGACUGAACCCAAUCAUUGAGGAAAACUAUUGUCCUUGACGUACUUAUUACCUGCAAGGUCUGACGAGUAUCAUCCAUCUCCUCAAUACUGUUUGAUUUCACAUAAUCAAACGCCACAUCGACCUUCCUGCAUUUAACAUAUCCAAUAUUAGGUUUGCAAACACGAUUUUAAGUUGUAAACACAAACAUAACCAUGCAUUCAUCCAAGUUAGAUGAACCAAUUUUCACAAAAUUUCAGCAGCAUAUUCACACUUCUAUGAGCAAAAUAUCAAAUAUUGGAGGAUGGCAACAGUGUGUUCUUAUUAGUGUUUCAAAGCCGGAUAUUGAUGCACGGUAUAAAGAACAAUUAACUCGCAGCGACUUCGUUGCUCAGACUUUCUUGCUCAAAUAGAAAGGUUUCACUUCUUAACUAACUUAAUUAAGUUGACACCACUAAAACUCAAGUUUUACUUUAACUUAAUUUUCCUUUCAUAAACGCAAGCUGGUAAUUUUUCCCUGUUUCUAUGCUAACACAAAACCAAUUCAACAGAUAAACACGAAUGAGUGAAUUAACCGAACCUACAAACUCAAUUUACACACCCAAAAUAAAUUAUUGAUAAACUAAACGUACUUUAUAAGGUCGAUGUUUUUAUCUUGUAGCGACAAAAUCAACUGCAAACUAUUCCACGACGAACUCUCUUUGAUUUCGCUCUCUCUAUCCGAUUGGUGUACACGAGUAACCUUUUUGUCUUUCCGCACUUGUUCAACACUAUCGGUGCUUCUCUCCUUCCUUUUCUUCUUAAUUGGCACUGGUUCGGAGCAUGGUUCGGCAUAACCGACCUUUCGCCGCCGCUUCGGUGGAAUACUAGCCUCCAUAACAACGUUCCAAGUUCUAAUCUUAGUACCGGUGAAAUUGAUUGUUAUUGCCGGACGGAGCUUGUAUUUCGCCGGAAAAUUGGUGCAGGACUAACCUCGUACUAUUGCUACUUGUAUUUAACCGCUAUUAUUGUGCGCGUCGGCGGCGGCGUAACGGUGAAGAUGGCGGCCGAGCAAGUAAACCCACAAAACGGUGAGCAGAAAAAGAGCUGCCUUUAAAAGCUGNNNNNNNNNNNNNNNNNNNNNNNNNNNNNNNNNNNNNNNNNNNNNNNNNNNNNNNNNNNNNNNNNNNNNNNNNNNNNNNNNNNNNNNNNNNNNNNNNNNNGAGCAGCCCAUUGGGGAAUUAUAAUUAAUAUGUUUUUCCAAGUCUGGAUCGGAAAAAAGUUAUUAUUUAAAUGAUGUUAUUAGUUAAUCGAGGUUAUAUUGUAUGUUUACCAACCAUUCCCACUUUUAUUAUAUAUUUUAUUUAUUUAUUUAUAUUCACUAUCUUAUUUUUCACUAUUAAAUUGUUAUAACUUAUAUACCACAAAAUACUAAGAAAUUGGUUUUUUUUUUUUUUCAAAAAACGAGUAUAAAGUCAAAAUCUAUUGCAAUAAAAAUUAGAUAAAAUAAAAAAUUAUAAAAUUCUUAGUUAGAUUCCUAAAAUACAAGUUAGUACACUUAAUUUCACCCACUCAAACACUUUUCCUUAAAAUAAUGUAUAAUCAAUUCUCCAUCCGUUUCAAGAGAAAAUCCCCCACGGAAAAUAAUUCGUAAAUUCAGCCCACACACACACACGAGAUACACCGAUACGUACACCCCUCUCUGCGUGCGUACACAGAAGAAGAUGAGGUCACCGAGGAGGCCGAUCCAGGCCGUGUCGACAUGGGUGCGGCGGCAGCCGCCCAAGGUAAAGGCGUUUCUGGCCGUAAUCAGCGGGAUGGCGGCGCUUGUUAUCCUCCGCGCAAUCGUUCACGAUCACGAUAAUCUCUUUGUUGCGGCUGAGGCUGUCCACUCGAUCGGAAUCUGCGUUCUUAUUUAUAAGUUGAUGAAGGAGAAGACUUGCGCUGGUAGGGCCUUGUAUUUUUAUUUUGUAUUUUGUUUUUUUGCUGUAAAUUGAUUUUGUUUUUUUACGUUUUUUGUAUCAGCUGGUUAUAAUUGAAUUGAGGAUUGUUAGGGCUUUGAGAAUUGAGGAGUUGGGGAAUGAGGGCACAUAAAAUCUCAUUAUUCUAAUUUUCUGCUUGUUUUUGGGCGAAAGAUUGAUUGUGCAAUUUUUAUUUUUACUUUGUCCUCUGAAGAAGGUGCUUGGGGGUGGGGUAGGGGGUGGGGGGUGGGGUGGGGGUAGUUGUAUACUUGUUUGUGCUAUUUACUUUAUGGUUUUGAUUUUUAGCUUUUGAGAAUUGAGGAUUUGGGGAGAUGUUGCUCUGGUUUUUUGUAUUCCUUGUUUUCUUGUUUCUAUGUUAAGAUGCCGACUCGAUUGUUUAGAAUUGCUGCUAUUGAAAAGAGCAAUUAUAUAGAGUGUUGAAAGAUGGGACUUUAUGUGUUUUCCCCUUCGGAAUAUUCGUUCUUGGAGAUAGUGGUUGAAUUAUUCGACCCCAUUUAAUUGAAUGCCAGAAAAGGGGAAAAGUUCAUUUUUUUGUUGGAACUCUGUUUUAUGGUGGUUAUAAUAAUGGGAGUUAGUUAAUACAUUGCAGCUUUUGUUAUGCACGGCAUGUAAAAUAUGAGGGUGAACUAUUGGUUGUUGCUUUCGGUCCUCCUUGGCAUACAAAUUUUAAGUUGUAGCGUAAUAAUUUGAACAGCAUUGAAGUUUAGAAUCAUUAGUUUGUAAAAACAAUUCGACAUACAUCUUGCAAUGUGAGCUUAUGUCUAUUUUGUAAUAUUUCAUUGACUUCGUCAUAUUUAUACUUUAGAAAUGCUAAUCGCCUGUAUAACUUGCAUCGUGGCAGGCAUUUCGCUCAAAUCCCAGGAUCUAACGGCUAUCUUUCUGGCUGUAAGAUUAUAUUGUAGUUUCGUGAUGGAAUAUGACAUACACACCGUGCUUGACAUGGCUACACUGGCAACUACUUUAUGGGUUAUAUAUAUGAUCCGACUUAAACUGAAGUCGAGUUAUAUGGCGGAUAAAGAUAAUUUUGCGUUAUACUAUGUGGUAAGUCCUCUUGCAUCAAUCUCGAGAUCCCACUUCUUAGUGCUUCAUUCAUUAUUGUCCUGUUUUGGUUUUUUGGAUGCUUCACCCGUUUUUUUAAAUUCACUGUUUGAUAGAGAGUUUUCUGCCUUUUACAGCUGGCCCCUUGUGCUAUUUUAGCUUUACUAAUCCACCCAUCUACAUCGCAUCACAUCAUUAACCGGAUUGCAUGGGCUUUCUGUGUCUAUUUAGAAGCUGUUUCAGUGCUACCACAACUGCGCGUCAUGCAAAACACCAAGGUACAAUUUUCUUAAGGGUUCACUUAUCGCACGUGUACGCUAAUUGACAACACUAUUCUUAAGUUUGUGAACAAUUAUAUAUAGUGUAUGACCUAAUAAUGUCAUCUUCAAUGUUUGGGGUUUGCAGAUUGUCGAACCAUUCACCGCUCAUUAUGUAUUUGCAUUGGGUGUUGCGAGGUUCUUGAGCUGUGCUCACUGGGUUCUCCAGGUUUGACUUUGACACGAACUUCUCGCCCAUAAUUAUUUAAAAUAUUUAAAAUUAACCAAGUGCAGAAAUAUGUGCGUGUUUAAGUGAAAAAUGAAACUCUUUAUUUUGAUGCCAACCCGCAUUCGACAGGUUCUUGAUAGCCGUGGGCAUCUUCUUGUGGCAUUGGGUUAUGGACUUUGGCCUUCGAUGGUUCUUAUUUCAGAAAUUGUUCAAACCUUCAUUCUGGCCGACUUUUGCUAUUACUAUGUAAAAAGGUUUGAUUUUUUUGUAACCAAUACUAGUGUGUGUGCGUGUGUGUUUAUUCUGCAAAUAAUUUGAAUCGAUUAAAUAACCUUUUUUUUAAAACGUGCAGUGUUUUCGGAGGUCAGCUUGUGCUGCGUCUUCCUUCUGGAGUGGUGUAAUCGGCUUCGUAAUCUUAUGUUAGUUCUUCUCUCUUCAUCAGCAGAAUUCUGAUGUGUGGCAAAAGCUUGGUAGUUGAGGCAAAUUAGAUAUAUUUAUAUCAACUUACCAAAAUACUAUAUUAGUUCGAUUGUAUCACUACUAAUUUUGGUUUCGUAGAAUGGAUUUCUUUUUUUUUUUUUUUUUGGCAAGACUUCAAAUAUUUCUUACUGAUUGGCGAUCGCAAUACUUUGCUUGACAAUAUAUAGAGAUCAAGUUGAGGUAUUCGAUAAUCGGUUUGAAUUAGAUGGUCAAAAGCACGGUUCGAUAACAUAACGAAUUAAAUUUUCACUUUUAAUUUUGUUCUAUGAGAUGUGAAGUUCGAUUUUGACUUGAGCUUGAUUAUAUGUAUAAAAAUCAAGCUACACGAGCUCGAGCUCAAUCAUAUACAGUUUUUAUAGCUCGAUAAAGAUUCAAACGAGAUUGAACAAUCCCGAAUCGAAUUUGAUUCGAUUUAAAGGAGCAGUAUGAAUUAAGUGAACCAAGAUUGCAUCUUCUGCAGAGAGUUCCUCAAAGCAUAUACAUAGGGUAUAUUACUGCGACUCUCAAAUUACGAAAAAAUCCCUUUUGUUUAAGUAAUUAGAACCAUCAGUUAACUAUGAAUCUUCUUACACGUCCACCAUUUAUGGAGUUAAAUUCGACUUGAUCAUCUAAAUUACGCGGAAUGUUCAAUUUAUUAGCAUUCAUAUAUUUGUUCGUUUUCAAUUCUUGAAUUAAUUGUAGAUAUUUUGAGGUGACGUGGAAGGAAACUUCCAGAAAGAAUACAGCUGUGUGAAGCACAAAAAGUAGAGUUUGAAUACUAGUUUGUUUUGAGUUGGAACUUCAAUUAAACUUUAGAAGGAUUAUCCUAAAAAAUGGAACAAAGUAUUAUUAUUUAUUGGUAAGAGGGACCCUUAAUUUUAAAGAUACCUUUCCCAAUAAUUGUUGACUUCUUUUCUUAAUAGUGAUUCUUAUCCAUCAUUUGCCAUCUGUCAUUGCUAUCUUUUUGUGUGUGUUUCUGGGGUGGGUGUGAAUGGGGCUGCUGAUAUUAUUGCAAAUACACAUUACAUUUUGGCUUUUCCUUUAUUUAUUUAAUAUUAUUAUUUGUACAUUUAUCAAAUAUUAUUUAGUAUCUCUUUUUUUUUUUUAAAUAUCAACUUUUCUUGUAUUUAAAAUUCUCAUUCUCGUUUAUUAAUUAGUAAUAACAUAAUUUGAGUAUCAUUUUAGGUGAGUAGGGUACACUUACAGGCUAAGUUACUAGUUAAUGCCCACAGGAAUUAUAGUUUAUUAUUAUUUGCAUGCAUGGUGCAUGGCACUUUCCUUUUACUCUCUUUCUUCACAUCCCUUUGUAUUAUUUCUUUCAUCUCACUUUCUUCUCUAUAAGUACUCCCCUUAUAAUCUCAUCCAAUUGCAACCAUAAUCUCUCUCUCUCUCUCUCUCUCUCUCUCUCUCUCUCUCUCUCUCAAUGGCUAUUACCAGCAGCAAAGUCCUAAUUGCAUCAAUCUUUGUGUCUCUUCUUGUUCUCCAAGGUGUUCAAGCAAUAAUCCAACCCAAUCAUGUGGUAAUUAAUGCUUCUAAUUCAUGUAAUAAAUACAAGAACACUAUUUUCUUAUUGUGAAUAAUGAGUUUGCAGAGUAGUUGAAAUUAACUUUAAUUUGAUCCCACACAAUUUAAUUACUUCCUAAACUUACAAACAUUUAUAAAAUUGCUUUAAAUACUAACUAAUUCUUGAUUUCUUCAACGUUUUGUUUUUCCGCAGACUAGCAGUGUCGUCGUAUCGGAACCUUCAGACAGCUCAAAGAUAGGUAAAAUCUUACUAACUGAUAUAUUAAUUAAUUAAUGUUCUUGAUUUAGUUAUUACUUAUAUUAAUCAAUAUUUGUUUUGUGUAUGUAUAGACUGUAAGGGAGCUUGUGCAGAAAGAUGCAAAUUAUCAGGAAGGCCAAAUCUGUGCAAAAGAGCUUGUGGGACUUGCUGUGCCAAGUGCAACUGCGUGCCACCUGGCACUUACGGCAACUACGAGGCUUGCCCUUGUUACGCUAGCUUGACCACCCGUAAUAACAAGCCUAAAUGCCCUUAGAGCCCGUUUGGAAGGACGGAUUUGGGCUAGGACGGAUUUUAAAUCCACUGCCCAAAUCCACUACGUCGUUUGGGCCGCAACUUAAAUCAGUGGAUUUCAAAUACCCCUAAAAACCGAUGGAUUUGAGCCCAUUUUUUAAUGGAUUUCAAAUCCUCCCACAAACCUAGUCAUUUGAAAUCCACCCAUCGUGACUUCUCUCAGCAGCCUUCAAAAAUUAGGGAUUUCUUCAAUUAUUGAUCUUCUAGCAGGGAAUAUUCCUCUUCAACGGCGGCGCUCGACGGCAGUGCUCGACGGCGGUGAUCGACGGUGGUGCUCGGCGGCGGUGCUCGGAGGCGGUGAGAUGCCCAUAGACCCUCUCUUGGACGCAGUGCCGGCCCUGAUGGGAGGCCACACAAGCAGUUGCUUUGGGCCCCCAUCUCAAAGGGGCCCCCAAUUUUGUGUUUUUUAUGUAAUGUAUACAUACAUACAUAUACGUAUAUAAUAAACAAAUAUUAAAUAUAUUCAAACACUCAAAAUGAGUCCACGUGUGACUUAUAAAAAGUGAAAGUGAAUAUUGGAUAAAAAAUAAUAUAAUUAAAUUAUACUUGAAGCACUUAAUUAAUUUUAGGUUAAAUAUUUUCGAGAUAAUCUAAAAUUCUUUAUUAUAUGUAGUGAACUGUGUAUUUUUUUUAGUAAUAUGUUAGAAAGCCAAAUCUUUUUAUUGUUCACUACGUAAUUUUUUCAGAAUUUUAUUAUUAUUUUAAUAAUAUAAUAAACUUUUUUUUUUUUGAGAAAAUAAAUUAAUAAACUUUAAGUUGAGUAAGAAGAUAAUGUAUUACUAAAUAGAAAGAAACUUUGAUGAUAUAGUAAGAAACCAUACCAAACUUUCAAGUAGGGGUGAGGAAAAAAAAAUCGAGGAACCGAACCGAAAACCGAUAAAACCGAACCGAAUUGCACCGAACCGAAGCAUAAACCGAAUACUCGGUUUUCAAUUUUAUGUGAACCGAAAAUUUCGGUUCGUAUUCGGUUUUCCAGGUAGGAAACCGAACCGAAGAACCGAACCGACAUCAAUACGACGUCGUUUCAUUAAAUAUAUAUAUCUUUUUUUACUUGAAUGAAUUUCAUUGAUUUUCGGCCCUGUUUUGGGCCUACAUUUGGGCUUGUCUUUUAUUGUUUUUUUUUAUUUCUGAAUUUCGAGUUGAUUUAUUGACAUUUUUGGGCUGAUUUUCCGGCCCAAAUGAGCCCAAAACCGAACCGAAAACCGAACCAUUAUUGAAACCGAACCGAGAAAUUUAUGAACCGAGAAGGAACCGAAAUCGAACCGAAACCGAGAAGGAACCGAACCGCAAGGAACCGAUCGGUUCGGUUUUUUGUUCUUUAGGAACCGAACACUUCGGUUCCGGUUCCGGUUUGUGCCUAAAACCGAACCGAACCGAACCGUUCUCACCCGUACUUUCAAGUUCGCUUAGGGCCCCGAAAAUGUCAGGUCCGGCCCUGCUUGGACGGGUAGUCUACCUCGACUCCAACCUCGUCUUCGUCGACGACAUCGCGAAAGUCGCGGCAACGCCGCUCCCGAACGGGGCCGUGCUGGCGGCGCCGGAGUACUGCAACGCCAACUUCACCACCUACUUCACGCCGACGUCUGGUCCAGCCCUUCUCUCUCUCUAAUCUUCGCCAACAGAAAACCCUGCUACUUCAACACGGGGUUAUCGUGAUCGAUCUUCAGAGAUGGAGGGCCGAAGAUUACACCACCAAGAUUGUCGAGUGGAUGGAGCUUCAGAAGAGGAUGAGGAUUUACGAGCUGGGCUCUUGCGCACCAUUCUUGCUCGUGUUCGCCGGAAACAUAGCUCCGGUUGAUCACCGGUGAACCAGCACGGACUCGCCGGCGAUAACUUCCGUGGCCUCAGCCGUGAUUUGCACCCCGGUCCGGUGAGCCUGUGGCAUUGGAGUGGGAAGUGGAAACCGUGGGCCCGGCUCGACUCGAACCGGCCCUGCCCGCUCGAGAGAUAUAUAUAUAUAUAUAUAUAUAUAUAUAUAUAUAUAUAUAUAUAUAUAUAUAUAUUAUUUUUAUUUUUAUAUAGUGUUAUUAUUUAAUGAAAUUUAACUGAUAUUUCUCAGAAGUUCAAUAAUUGCAAUAUCACAUUUGUAUGAUAUGAAAAUAUUUGUAAAACUAAUUAAAGAAUUUAAAUCCACUGCUCUUUAGCCAAACAGUGAAUUUGAUUUGAAAUCCUUUGUAUAAAUCUUCAUGUAUCCAAAUAGGUGAUUUUAAAUUGUAUGGAUUUCAAAUCCAAGGUAUUUUAAAUCCAAGGUAUUUCAAAUCCAUUCGUUUGAAAUCCUCCAAUCCAAACAGGACCUUAGAUUUAUUUAUCUUUUUUCAAAUAUUUUCUUCUGUUUUUUUUUUUUUUUUGUUUUUUCCAAAUUUACUUGUAUAAUUAUGGUUGCAUAUUUCUGUAAGUAAUUUAAGUUGUUAAAUAAUGAAUGGGAUCACUCGAUUGCAACAAUGGUUGUGGUCGCAUGUCAGAUCCCAACAAUUAAACCUUAUAUAGUCCGUCCUUUUUUUAUUACGAGUCUCGAGUACGUAGAUCGAGCUAGCAGAAUGGCUCCAACACCAACAACUCUCCUUAUAUUUAGUUAGUUAUAGUCACCUCCUCAACUAUGUAAUAUCUAACGAAAAUAUCCCUCUAGAUGUAAAUUUAGGAAUGCUAAAUCGAUAAAGCCAAAUCGAAAUUUCGGUACGACUGUUUACCGAACUGAAUAUACGAUUUGAUUCGGUAAAUAACCGAAUUACAUUCAUAUUGUUUACCGAACUGAAUAUACGAUUUAAUUCGGUAAAUAACCGAAUUACAUAAAUUUUAUGUAAAAAUAUUUAAAAGGAGGGAGUGGUUGUAAUUACACAAAUAAGAAAAAAAUUUUCGUAGUUUAACCAUACAUCAGGGGUGCACGUAAUUUACCCUAAGUAUAUAAAUGUUCCUCUGAAAAUUUGGUUGCCGUUUAUAUGGGCCGGAUAACUACAAUUUGGGCUUAUUCAUCACCAAGCAAAAGAAAAAUAAAAGACGAAAAGGGAAUGGGCACAAAUUUGUACCCUAGACGAAAUUAAUGGCAAGCCGUGUCGUAAAGCUUCGAUGAUGGCAGAGGCGGAGAGCUGGGGUAGAACAAAAAUUCGACAGAGUGAAACGGGAUUGAACGAAAUUUCAUCUUUUGCAAUUUUAAAAACUGAUAAAAGAAAAAAAAAACAACUUUAUAAAACACAACAAGAGAGAUGGAUGCAUAAUAAAAGGAUGAAGAUUAAGAGUAAAUUGUCAUUAGUAUUCGUGAUUAAGCAACUAUUACGUACUAACUAAGAUAAGUUACAUGCCCCAUUUUAUUUUUUCGGCCAACUAUGGCGACGACGGCUGCAGAAGAGUGGAGGAAGAUGCGACAGGCUCGUGCACAACCGAAUUUAUAGAUACGGAAACGGGGUUGCCUUCCAAUUGCAGCAUUAUACUUCCAAUUACUUCUCUCAGUAGUUUUUUGAACUCUUCUUCUUUCACCGUUUUUCCAUCUCCAGCAUCGAACAUCUUAAGAGCCUCGGUCAUAAUACUAUCCAUCUGCAAAUCAUUGUGUUUGUGCGCGCGCGCACGUGAGAGAGAUAGAGAGAGAAAUUUUACGAGGGUAAAUACGUAAACAAACGUAUUAGUGACUGUUGCGACUUGCGAAUGAGCAAUUACCUGAUUAACAGCACCUAACGGAGGUAAGCCAGCAAAUGCGGCCAAAGAAUCGAGUGCCAGACCCAAAUAUUCCUUUGAUAUUUUCCCGUGUCGAUCUUUCGGAACACUUUUUAUAGCAGAAUCCAAUGUCUGCAUACAUGAAAUGUGGCCUUUCUUUUAACUACUUCAUUCAAUUAUUAUGCUAGGCGACUUGAAUUACUUAUGUGACUCGAACUAUUUUCGAUCGUUAUUAUCUUCGAAUUAUCUUAAUUGUCCACUCAAUUGAAUUCGUACACACAAUAAUUUCAACAACAUAAUGUAAUGCUAUUUGUUUACAUGCACACUAUUGAUACAAUUAUGCACUAACCUUUUCCAACUCGAAUUUGUUCGACAAAAGCCUCUUAAUGCCACUCCCGUCAAAAGUAUUCUGACUGUGUGCAACAAUAGCCGGUUGUUCUUGAAGAAGCUGCACCACGUUUUCGACAGCUUUGGCGAACUCCGACAAAAAUAUCUCUUGCGUAACUUGUUGGUCAAGGCCACCCCCAAGUGAUUCCAAAGCCGGCUCCACAAUAUUGCUUAUGACCUACAAAAAAGAUUGGAGCUCGAUUAAAAGAACACAAAAAAAUCGAUUUUUUUUUAUGAAAACUAUUUAUACCCAAGGAUCUGUGGCAGGAGGCAUCCCAUCGUCGACCGUAAGUUUCUCAAAGGCCUUGACAAUGUAAUCUUUUAAGGAGCCGUUUGGCAAUUCGAUUUCUGAAAAUAUGGAAACCAACUCGGGUUCGAAAGAUGGGCUUUUAACGAACUCGUUAAGGUCUUCGCCAUCGAUACGAAGAAUGACUACAGGGUCUCGUUUCAAACCGGCAGCCAUGCCCACUAGAAAAUCCGAAAGAACUUCUUUGAACUCCGUCUUGCUUAUCUUUUCUUGCUUACCGUGCGUAAAUUCAUUAAGAACCUGGUAUCAUAUCAGAAAAUCGCGUUAGCAGUUCACUAAUUAUGGUCACGUUCUUGAGUUUCUACAAACACGUCGGAUCGGAUCAAUAAUACCGUAAUUAAUAUUGCUGUUAAUGAAUAACAUAAGUGGAUAAUCUAAUCAAUCAAUCUUGAAUACAAAGUGACUCAAGGCCAUGUGCAUCAGUCUUCAAAUGUUAAGACCUCGUUUGGUACAAAAAUAAGAUCAGCCAAGAUAAGAUUAAAUAAUUUAAUGAAAAUCCAAUUAUAUUAUAGCACGAACAAGAUCAAAUAAGAAAAACAUGCCUAAAAAUGAGUCCAUUGCAAAAAGUACCUAUGUAAUCUCUAAACAGCAAAAAAACCUCCGUAAUAAAAAAUACUAGCAAAAACCCCCUAUAAUUUUUGCAGUUUACUCCCUAAAAAAAUAACAUAAUUUUUUUUCAGAGUCAUCAUAACAUAAUAUUUAUAAGUCAGACUCGUCAUCAAGAUACUAAAAAUCAAACAAAGUCUAAUUAUUUAGUUAAUAAUGGCUAAUCUACUCAAACAAACGAUUAAUACGAAUAAACGGUAAAAAAUAAAAAAUANNNNNNNNNNNNNNNNNNNNNNNNNNNNNNNNNNNNNNNNNNNNNNNNNNNNNNNNNNNNNNNNNNNNNNNNNNNNNNNNNNNNNNNNNNNNNNNNNNNNUUCUUUAUUUUGGUCGGCCCGUAGGAAUGCGACGCGUGUCCAUUUUCACUCGAUUGCGUAAGGCAGCGGCGAUUGGGUUUUGACUGAAGAUGUGAGGGCCCUUUUCAUUUGAUGGGCCUUUGCAUAUUCGUUUCACAUUGAUUUUACUUUGGCCCAUCUUUUACUUUCAUUUAUGAUUUUAAUUGUAGAUUUCAAUUACCCCAUGACUAUAAUUUUUUUUAAAUAUUUAUUUUUCUAGUGUCAAAUUUAGAGAAAUAUUUUAGAUUAUGUGAAAUAUUUUCUAGUAUGUACACGUUUUAUCCCAUUCGAGAUCUAUAUUUUGAAACAAGCUGAUCAUAAAAUGUGUCUCGUAGCUUGUAAUCAGAUUGUGGUGCAUCAGAAACUGAUUUUUUGCAUAAAACGAGUACCGAUUAGUGAACAUUCCAUGAAAACCCAAAAGAUUCUUUUGAAUUUAAGAACAUUUCAUGAAAUUCAGAAGAUUUUUAGUUAAUGGGUGAUUAUAAUUAUCAAAAUAUGAUUUUUUUUUUUCGUAAUUUGACAUUACAUCAGGGUGACAGUAAGACCCGUGACUUAACUAAAUAAUAAUUAAUUGGUCAAUAUUAAUUGGGCUUCAAUCUAGAUAUUGCAGGGUCAUACGGAAAUCUAGUCAAUUCACUAGGCCCAAUUCACAUGAAAUUUAUUGCAGGGUCAAUUUUUAUUGGGCUUCAAUUCUUUGUUACAUGAAGUUUUUAAAAUGGUUCAAUUUAUAAGUUUUGAUUUUUUGUGAAAUCAAUAUUCUUAUUUAGAUAAAAUUUCGGUUUAGUAUUGUAUAGUUAUUUAAGUUUCAUUUUUUUUAUAAUCUUUUCGUUUUAAUAAAUAAUAAAAUAGCCGUACUUUGGACUUUCAAAAUUUAGGCAUUUAAAUGUUAAAGUAGGUUCCAAUUAGGAAAUAAAAAGGAAUUAAGAAGGAAAUAAUUAUAUGAAGAUUCUCUCUCGUUAGUUGUUUCCUAUUCUGUAUUUUUUUCCCUAAAAUCGUGUUUACAGCAAUUAACAACUUCUUCUAUUUAUUCCGAACCAUGCAAACUUCAACUUCAUAAUUACUCCGCGAGUUUAUAAACGCUUUCUCCUCCACUUCCACUCUAUCCUCAACACACACCAGACACACACACACGGGGGAAUCAAUGGAGUGUAGAGUGAAACCCCAGACCCUUUCGCUACUAACACGAACUCCGAUUUUCCCUCUCUCUCCGUGCGCCGUCGGAAUCCUCCGCAGUGAAUUCCUCGGCAGCGGCCACAAUCUCAGGCUGCAGCGGCGGAGAUGCAAAAAAUCGCGGCAUAAACACCAGUCUGAUAAUUGCAAGUUUCUCUUCAAAGCCUCGCUCGAAUCGCAGCCGAUUUUUGUAAUCGCCGCCGCAGUUGCCACCGUUUCUGCCAUGACUGUCGUUUAUUUUUCUUAUUCGAGAAAACUAUUUAAUAUCGCACAGGUAAUCACUAUCCUGCUACUCCUGUCAAUUUUUUUUUUGGGUAGAAUUCACAGUGAAAUUACGUUUUAGAGAUGGUAUAGAAACUAUUGAGGUACAUUUGUGUGUUUGAUUAUUUUUGGGAAAGAAGUCCUCGUUUCCAAUCAUCGAAGAAAUUCAGUGACUAAUUAUGUUUAUAUUGUGAAAUAUUGACAUUGUUACAUGAUUGUAUUGAUCUAUUGAUAUAACACAUGAAAAUAUAUGUAGUUUAUUGUAUCUGCUAUUGCAUGUAUGUAGUCUCAGUAAAUAUUGUUUAUUCUCAAAUUUUAGAUGUCAGGAGAGCUAACUCUUGCAUUAUCCGAACAAAUAAGAAGUAUGACGAGCUGGAUUCUAACAUCACAUAUUGUUGAUAAGAAAAAAUCUACUGACGGGAGCAAAAAUUUAACGACAGAAACUAGAGAAAAUAUUCAAGCAGAUAAAAAUUCAAGUGCUGAGAUCAAGAUUGGGGAAACUGCUGUGACUCCUGGAGGAGCACUCAUCGUAGAGGCAACUCGAUUUCAGUCUAAUAACGUUGCUUCAAGUGGUCAUGACAGUCUAACCUUCCAGACAUCUGAAACUUUGGAGAUAUCAUCUGCGCCUUCUUUGUUCUCCAACAUCGGUGCCCAACCAUUUUCCAGGGAAGCUUGUGAAGUGCACCGAAACGCACAUGUACACACCAAUUCAGUUGAUUCUGAGUUGUCCACUUCAGUAAUGCAAGUAAAUUUAGGUGCUGCACUUUCUUCAGCAAAUCACGUACAGGAAGAAUCAGAUAAACUUAGUAGACUAAAGUUUGAAUAUCUCGAAGAGGAUGUUAUAAACAACUUGGACCUCAUUUUCCGAGACUCUGUUCGUAGAGAGCUGUACACAAUUAACGAGGCAUCUUUGGAAAAGUUGGAUAACGUGGAACCAUUGUCAUCUUGUGCUACCCUUUCGAAGAAAAUCAACCAUAUAUCCCACUUGAACAAGUCUUUGGCAAAAGGAUCAAAUCUUACUGCACGCAAUGUGAUAUUACCUACGGACACAGGUUAUGAUAUAGACAUAUCAUUAUUUUUUUUUGGGUAAUUGCAGGAUAUCUGAUAUGUUCUAUUUAUGCUUAUAUCUGAUACCCUUUUUCUCCUCCAAUUUUUACAGAGAAGUUUGAAGAUGAAAAACUUCUUGGAUAUCGCAGUGGAGUCUUUCUUUCCCAGCAGCAGGACUCAAGAAAUAGGAAAGACUCGAGAAAUAGGAAAGAGUUAAAAAAGAAGGACACAAACAUUUCUCAUCAAAAUGAAUCGAAAAACUUAUCCCCAUCUUCUGAUCCCGAGGACAAGCAUAACAAUAACAAGCAAAAUCGUUCAUGGCAAUUACGUGUAUAUGACCAACUUUUGCGGGAAGGCAGGUAGGUCUUCCAAUGUACAAAUGUUCGGUUUCAAAUUAUUGUCUUCAUAUGUUCAAUUUAUCGGUUUCAAAUUUUGUUCUUACCUGACAUAAGUAUCUAUAUAAGACAAAACUGUUUGUUAUAUGCCUCAAAACUGUACAUGACAUUGUUAAUUAAGGCAUCCUGUGACUAUGGUAAAUAGAACUAUUAUGAGAUAUCUCUAGCUGAGACCUGUGACUACUGUUAUAAUGCAUGUCUGUGAAAAAUAUUUUCAUACUUUGGUAUCAAAAUUCUCUAUUGUUAUAAUUGAUUAUAGGCUAAACGACUGCAUAGAAUUGCUUGAAGAUUUGGAACAGAACAGUUUGUUGGAUAUGGAUAAGGUGAGUUUGCAGUUUGUUAAGUUUCUACAAUUAUGAUGCUCAUGAAACGUGUUAUUCAUUUGUUGAAUGUCAUGGCUUCAGGUUUAUCAUGCCAGGUUUUUUGAUGUAUGCAAGUCUCAGAAAGCUGUUAAGGAGGCAUCCCGCUUCAUUAGACUUAUCUCAAAUCCGACCCUGAGUACAUUUAAUAUGUUUAUGUCUGUUUGCGCUAGCUCCCAAGAUUCAGAAGGUGCCCCCCCCCCCUCUCUCUCUCUCUCAAACUGAAGGGUCCUAUAUAUAUACCUCAGUAUAUUAUUGUAGUACUUGAGAUACUUCCCCCUCUUGUCUUGGAUGUAGGUGCAUUUCAAGUUCUAAAACAUGUUCAGGAGGUUGGACUGAAAGCCGACUGCAAACUUUACACUACAUUGAUUUCAACUUGUGCUAAAAGUGGUAAAGUGGAUACGAUGUUCAAGGUAUGGAAAUCCAUUUUGAAAGGAUAUUCUAUCCGGCUUUAGGUGCCCAUUUUAAUUGAUUGAUGAGGUCAUGGCAUGUGUAUUCUCAUUUUUUAAAGUAAAAUGGUUUUUUAUGUUGAUAAAAAUAUUCCUAAUAUCUAUGUGGAGUACACUUUUAUGCCUGGUUGGGCUUUAUCUAGUGUUGACUGAGAUAAUAUUCCUUAGUAAUAUUUAAAGCAAAAGAAAUGAACUGUGUAAAGCAUUAACGUCUCUGAUAAUUCAGUAUUGUGCACUUUGUACUAUUGUCUCCAAAUUCAGGUUCCUCAUCCGAUUUAUAAAAAUUUAGGUUUUCCAUGAAAUGGUAAAUGCUGGAGUUGAACCAAAUCUCCACACAUAUGGUGCACUCAUUGAUGGUUGUGCUAAAGCUGGUCAAGUUGCUAAGGCUUUUGGUGCCUAUGGAAUACUCAGAUCAAAGGUUAUUACACACUUUGGAUUUGAUCUUCUCUCUUCCAUGUCAUAAUCUAGCAAUCCACUUCUUUACUGUAAUUCAAAUAUUAUUGUGUCUAACCUGAAAUUGCUUGUAUAUAGUAGAAUGUGAAGCCAGACCGAGUAGUAUUCAAUGCACUUAUCACUGCAUGCGGUCAAUCAGGUGCAGUGGAUCGUGCAUUUGAUGUAUUAGCUGAAAUGAGGGCAGAGAUACAACCCAUAGAACCUGAUCACAUCACUAUUGGUGCUCUGAUGAAGGCUUGUGCUAGAGCUGAUGAGGUCAGUUUUAUCUAGGUCCUGCCUGAAACCAUUUAUCUACUUAAUUAUUUGAUCCUCGUCUAUCUGAUUAGAAUCCUAUGUGGGAUAUUGAACUGUAUUAGGUUGAUCGGGCGAGAGAGGUCUACAAUAUGAUUCAUGAGUUUGGCAUCCGCGGCACUGCGGAGCUUUACACUAUUGCCGUGAACAGCUGUAGUCACCAUGGGGAUUGGGAGUUUGCUUGCAGUGUCUAUGAUGACAUGAUAAAAAAAGGUGUCGCUCCUGAUGAGGUACCUCGGUCUGAAUUCUAUGUUAGUUUUUGCUUGUGAGAAGCUCCUUUUAACUAGUGAUUAUUGCAUUUAGAUCAAUUGUUUCAGAAUCAUGCUAAAAUAUCUAGGUACCUCUCAUAAUUCUCUGCUUUCCCUUAUACAUUUUCUUCAUAUUGCAUUAUCAGCUCAACGUGGUAAGUUAAUACAAUGCUGCGUCUCACUUUUUUCAUUUAUACAGAUGUUUAUAAGCGCAUUGAUAGAUGUCGCGGGGCAUGCUGGAAAAGUGGAUGCUGCAUUUGAAAUCCUACAAGAAGCUAGGGCUAAAGGAAUGCGCAUUGGAAUCAUAUCGUACAGCUCCUUGAUGGGAGCCUGUAGCAAUGUAAGGGCAACUCAUCGUGCCUAGAAAUUCAGUUACAAAGUUCUUUUGGAAUACUAUUGUGUUUAAUCAAAUAUUUUUACAUAAUCACCCAUAUAUGAUAAGUUGGACAAAUUGGGUGGGUACAAACUUGAGGUUUCUAAUGAAUGUAUUUCUGCACUUGGUCACAACAAAUCAGUUCACAGUAGUUCUAUUCUUGAAAUACUCCUUAGUCUGGUCAGUAAAUAAACAUUGAUUACUAUAUCUUAUUGUUUUUCCCUAUUUUCUCUGGAAAGGUGAACAUCAUUGUUUUAGUAUAGACAUUAGACAAUAGCCAAUACUAGCUAAAUAUCUUGGAUUACAAGAGAAUAUGAUUCAAUGCAUCGCCAUGGCUUUUUUAUAUUAAAAAAUGAUAGUUAACCUAUUGAUAUUUAAAUCACUGCUUUACCUUGUUUUGACAAGUUAACACAAGUUCUCUGCUCCAUUCUAGCAACUCCAACGUAGAUGGUAUAUUGAGUUUCUCAGUGAUGUAACUAUCUGCCAAACAUUUUCAGGCUAGCGAUUGGAAGAAGGCACUGGAGCUGUAUGAGGUCACUAAGAGAAUGAAGCUGAAGCCGACAGUCUCAAUGAUGAAUGCCUUGAUAACUGCUUUGUGUAAGUUAUUCAACACAACCCUUAACACAUCACCCUCACGUGCAAAGCAAGUUCAGCUUCACUGAAUUUUCUGAAGUUAUACUGAUAGUACUCAACGUUGUAAUAUCUAACACAAUGUAAUUUUUAUUCGGGGUAAAAAGGUCAUGAAGAUAACAUAGACUUCUCAUGUGGUUCAUAGAUAAACUAGUUAGAUAAAGAUUAGUGUAGGAAGAGAAUGACUGUGCCAAAAGUUUGAUUUAGCGUUGCCCUGCAGGUGAUGCGGAUCAACUGCAAAAGGCCAUGGAAAGUUUAUCUGAAAUGAAGAGCGUCGGUUUAUGCCCAAAUACCAUAACUUACUCCAUUCUUUUAGUGGCUUGUGAAAAGUAUUUUACCUUUCUUUAUACAAUACUAGUAUGAUUUUUAACUUUGCUUUUCCACAUAGAAUGGUUGACAUUCUAUUAAAAUACUUUUUUCAUCUCUUACCAGAAAGGAUGAUCUAGAAGCUGGCCUCAUGCUUAUUUCUCAAGCAAAAAAGGACAAAGUCACUCCUAACCUUGUAAUGUGCCGGUGCCUCAUAGGUGAGAUUUAGGUAUUCCAUUAUCUUUAUUUUCUGAGAAUUUUAUCAUGCAUAAGGAAAUUGGAUAUGUUAGUCGUAUGAUUAGCACUGCUAGGCUAUUGUGAUGCAUCUCUAUUCUUUUUAUGCUUAACGAACUCUUGAGAACAUUAAUGAUAGUUGCCAUGUUUCAGUUAUAGUAUCGAAUUGUAGUUUUACAUCUCCCUGAAUGGUUGAUUGUCUCAAUUAACUUAAUCAUGGUGUUGUAUUUUUGCUGUCAUCUCUGAUCUCCUGCUGCUGUUAGUCAAAAACAGAUAAAGGGCAAAAGAUUGUUUAUGUUAGGUACAGUAACACAAAUAGAAUAAUCUCUCUGUUACAGUGCUCAUGCAAGAUAUUCUCAUAAUUGCAUUAUUUGGUUAUUGAAUCACUCUCUUAAGAGUCAUGUCGUCUUUGUGUUGCAUUACUGUGACGAAUUACCAUAACAUAUUGCUUUAUUCUAGGUAUAACCCGUGCCUAUUAAUAAGAAUAAGUACGAAAAGUAUUAUGCGUGUAAUGAAUCUGGAUUUCUGUUGGUAUAUUGUGUUAGUUUUUGUUUUUUUUGACUUCAUCAAGUUACUUAUCAAGUUUGUCAAAUCAAGGUAUGUGCUUACGGAGAUUCCAAGCAGCUUGUACAGUGGGCGAGCCUGUACUAUCUUUCAGCUCGGGUCAAGUUCAGCUUAACAGUAAAUGGUACACAUUCUUACCAUUUUGUAAUAAUUCCUUUUGUUACUUAUUAUUUCUAGAUGAAAUACAUCUAUCUCUUAAGGUCAUUAUUCUCGUUCUUCUGUGUACAAUAGUGCUCUUACUCUGAAGUGAAACCUUCAGCUGUUUGCAUACAUUUAAAUGGUUGAAAAAACUGUGACAUCUUAAAGAUUCUGCAAAACCUAUUUCUUCUAUUUGAACGAGUUUUGUUUCUCUAAAAGUAUUCAUUUUCAUGUGUGAUGUUUGUUUUUCUCGUUGAUUUUCUGUCUCUAGUAUAUGCUAUUUCUCAUUUUCUCUAAGGAUAAUUUGAAAUAGAAAAUUAACCUCAUUCUCAAACUAAUAUUGAUCAACCUUUUAAAGGAGAAAACUGUAAAAAAGGAAUAUAUGGCUUAUGAGAUAGCUAUAUCUCCACAGGACAUCCUUGGCGUUGAUGGUUUACAGGGAAACAAUCAUGGCCGGUGUGACACCUACUAUGGAUGAACUUUCGCAAGUUCUGGGAUGCCUAAAGCUCCCUCAUGACGCAUCUAUAAAAAAUAGGCUCAUUGAGAAUCUUGGAGUGAACACUAUUGCAUCAAAAGGUGCAAGCCUUUAUUCCUUGAUUGAUGGAUUUGGGGAAUAUGAUCCCCGCGCUUUUUCUUUAGUUGAGGUCCGUAAACAAAUUCCACAAAUUCUUUUAUCCUAUUUAACUUUUUAUUGUUUAUAACUUGCAUCUCAUGAAAAUUAUAUGAGGAAGCUUAAAAAUAUUCUUUGUAUCUUUAGGAGGCUGCUUCUCUUGGAACUAUACCAGUUGUUUCUUUGAAAGAAAGCCCGAUUGUUGUUGAUGUGAGAGAUUUUCAAUUCCAUACAGCUGAGGUGAGAUCAUUUUAAAUAACAAGCAUGUUUUGUUUCAACUAUCGUAGAGGCAUUAUUCUUUACUUGUCUACUUUAAAUUCCACCCUUUCUUAAUUGACGCGCUAUCAUUUUAUUACAUACUGGUAAAUGUAAAUCCUUUCUGAUGGCUUCAUUCCAAGUGAAUCUUGGUCACCUCUUCCUUUAUGGUUCACAUUAACAAACAAAUUAUUAGUUGUAUAUGGAGCGGAAUGAGAAUUUUUUCAUUUUUGUUAUAAGAGAAUUGCGUCGUAUAUACGCAUCAUCGUCUGUUAUAGGUAUUUGUGACUCAGCCAGGUUGUUGGUUGAAACUUGUAAAUAUACCACACAGUAUUACUUCCUCCGUAUUUCGGCCCUCACCCAUACCUGCAUACACACUUUAAGCUAGUAUUAACCGAGUGCCAUUUUAUGCUGUCAUUUAUACGUGUAACUAAAUUGAGCUGCAAAUAUUGGUCAGGUGUACCUAUUGACGGUUCUGAAAGGUCUCAAGCAUCGCUUGGCUGCUGGUACAAGCUUAAACUUCUUUUGAUUACUUAGUGUCUCUGAAUGAACUUUUCGUUUUUAGUGGCUGCUAGUAAUAGCUCGUAAAAAUAUUGGGCAUGCACUGCAAAUGGUUAUCAAAUCGGCAAAACUUGAACUAUAUGAAAACCAAGAUGACAUUCUGGAAGACUAGAGAAACUGUUUGAAAAUGGGACUAGAAUUAUCUGAUUGCAGUGUUUUGGUUCAAAAUGGGUAAAAACAAGAAAAUUUGUUCUUAGGCACAUAUGGAUGUAUAGUAUGAAUUCAUUAGGUGCAUAUAUUGAAUUUUCUUGUUGCUCUCUCUAUCCCUCUAUUUAACAUAUUCUUACUGAACUUGGACAGGUGUAAAGUUGCCUAAUGUACUUGUUCUGCUGCCCGUCGAACCGACACAGAUUCAGACUUCUGCAGGGGAGAAAAUGAUUAAUUUUGCGGACAGGUGAGAGCAUCUUCUUUUAUCUGAUUGGGCCAAUUAUACGAGAUUGUACAGUUUUACUUAAAUUGGGGAGGGAUGUGUAGUGGUUCUGGCAGCGAAUGACACUUGAACCCUUGGUUUCUAUGUGCGGAUUCACAGAGCCUUCAUGAGUGGAUUUUCUGAAUAUGAACUUUGUGUUGAACCAAGGAAAUCUUUACGUGGCAUCUUAGAUAGGCUACAAACGUGACAAUUUAUGCAAAUUUACUCUAUUCAAGAACAUAAGCAAUUGGAGUGAAUUGUAGUUCCAGAAAGCAACGGAAUAUAUGGUGAACAAGGUUGAACUAUUUCAAGGUCGUAAAAUAAUAUAGAUUCAAAAUGAGUAUUGAACUUCUAGUAAGAAUUUGAGGUUACUGACAUGUAAAUCCAUUCAUGGUACUAAUUUGCGGGUGACAUACUCAUUUUAGCAACGGAUAAAUUGUUAUGCAUUAGUUUAGAAUUUAAUGUCAAAAAAGAAUUAUCCUCGGAAGUUUUUUGUUGCACUUGGAAAGAUGUUAUACAUAUUUUCAUUUGACUUUUAGCACUUCAAUUGUUGAUUAUUCAAUACGAGUGACUUGUUUUCUCUAUCUUUAAUAAGGUUGAAAAGAAAAGCUGAAAAUAUUCGUAUUUGCUCAACAGGAGAAGCCAAGCAUUGGCAGCUCUACUGAGGAGACUCGGACUAUCUUAUCAAGGAAAUGAAUCAUUCGGAAAGAUGAAACUAAAUGGUCUUACCAUAAGAAUGUGGUUACAGCCGGAGCUUGGUACUCCUUUCGGUGGAAAGAAAAUAGAUCGGGGCCCACCCCUUAGACGUCUAGGCUCAGACCUAAGCCGUCAACGGCAAAAAAUCAGAACUGGCCAUUUGUCGUUUUAAUGAGGUUGAGAUAUAUUGGUGUAUUGCAAGGAAUACAUUUACUUAAUAAUUUAUAAUUUACAAUAACUUUGUAUGCCUAACACUACAUGAUCCUGCCAUAAGUUGAUAUUAACGGCUUAUUGUCUUCUAUGCAGAAAUAUGGCGAAAUUUUCUUUAGUAUUUUCAAGGAAGAAGCGCGGAAAUAUGUUGCGGGGAGUAUUUUGUACAUGAGCUGGAAACCCUUGAGAGGGUUUGAGCUAUUCAGAGUUGAAGCACACAGUUCUUAAGGAUUUUUAUUUAUUUUUAAUUUUAUUUUUUUGGAGUUCUAUGAGUUCAAAUUGGAAGGGUAUAUAUUGUCAGUGAAAAUAAGGAUGGCAUCUCUGCGAGUACGGUUGGUCGUGUUGUAAUGUAUGCAGUAUUGAACAAAUACAGUGCCAUUUUGACUGUGCGAUUCUUUUCUAUAAUGAAUGUGGCAGUCAAUAAUUAUGGGAACUCUCCAGAAGACUUGCUGGUUUCUGGAUAGUUGUAUCCAUUUUUGUAUAUUGACCAGCAUCUGGUGUAGGUUUUUGAAUUUUGAGAGUUGAUAUAAGGGAUUUGGUAUCGAACUUUGUAUAACUAGCAAAAUAAUCUAGUUUAUAUAUUUAUCUAAUUUUACAUACUUUUUUGCAUGGGUCUACACCUCAGAAAACUAAUAAUCAAAACUGUUGGAGUGCUGAUUAAUUUUCUUGGAUCAUGACAGCUGCAUUCUUGAAGUGAGUUCGAGAAAGGUAUUUUCACUGCACGGAAUUGUUAGACCUCCCAUUGGAUGACUGAAGCCAAAUUCUUCCUCUGCUCGUCUCAACAAAUCUUGAAACGAAGGGUGAUUCAGGUACGAUAAGGGAACCACAUACCUUUUCCUCUGAACUCUCUCUCCUACGUAAACUGCCAGGUGGCCCUUAGGCACAUCUGAUUGAUUUUUGUUGAGAAAGGAUUGUAGCUUGUAGAAUUGCUUGGCAUUCGAAAUCAACGAUGGUAAGCGAAUAAUAGCCAUAUCUUGUUUUGAGGGUUUGAUUUGUUUACUCUGGAUUUAGCUCUAGUUGUUGUUGCACUGUGAAUUCUUGAAGAUUGAGGAUGCCUAUUUAUAUACAAAUAUUUACUUAUUAAUUUAUGCAUAAUAUUUAUAUAUAUUAUAAUUGCUAGAGCUGGAAUUUGGGGGCUCUGAUACUUUUUAAGAGGGGGUCUACAUUACCAAGGAGGUGCACAUGGCUUCUGUCACGAAAUUCCCAAAAAAAGAAAAAAGAAAAAAAUAAAGUUUCUUAUCCAUAGAUCAUCUUCACAUGGUUUAGGAAUCCCACUUGCACCUUUCAAGUUUAUAUCAUGAAUCUAAAUAUGCUUUUAUUACAGGUUCCGGAUAAAAAGGGGCAACAUAUAACCCGGAGUUGCUUAACCGUUUACAUGGUAUGUUCUAAAUAUUUGUGUAAUGAUUUGAAUUUAAUUAUAUAAAUCUUUUUGAUGGGUCCAAGUAUUUUUAAUCCACCUACCAGCAUAAUAUGCCCCCACCUUUUGUUGCAACUGUUAUAGAGGAUAGAUUUCCUUCAUUUUGAAAAGCAGUUAUAUGACUCAUUGGCCUUGCCCACCGUAUUUCAUUUCUGGUAUGUCUUAUUCUUAAUAAAAUAUUUUAAUCGUAAGUUUUGAUAAUAAAUUGAUUUACUAUCUAUUAUUUGUGGACAAUUUAGGGUCCAUAUAGUAAUUGUAGGGCCGGAGUUGGCUCUUACCCUCCUUACAAGAAUGGUACAUCUGCAUGCAUUAUUCAGGUCAGGGUUCGUUUAACUUAAUAUUACUAUCCCGAACUUGUGAGGAUUUAAUUUCGUUUUAGUGCGUCACCAUUGCCCAUGGUUUUAAUUUGUCUUGAUCAUGUCACGACUUGAUUAUAUAUAAAAAAAUCAGUAAAUUAACAGACGGGCUUUUAACAUGAUAUAAUCGUAAGUUUAAGCUAGCAAUGACAGAAUUUUAGUUUCAUUUUUAAGAAGUGGUGGAUUAUAUGAAUCUGUGAGCUGACAAGUUGGAUGAAAAUAUAAUUCUUUUCGUAAUAUCUACAUACCGCAUGUGGCAUAUUUAUUAGCUAAUGUAUAUAUGGAUAUAACAAUUGGUUUAAGACUUGAGAGCGGAGUCGUAUAUUUAUCGUAAACAUACGCGAUUUGUAUGGGCUGUUCUCAUAAUAGAAAACUAAAUAAAUAUUAGUAUAAUGUGGAUGGAUGGGUUUGGUUUAAAUUUAAGAAGAUGAGGCAGCUGCACGAUAUGAUAUCACCCUUGUCUCUUAAUCCUCCUUUUUUUUUUGUUUAUUUAAAGUGAGUUUUUGGUGUCGAUCACGCAUAAUAUGUAUAUAUAAUAUAUAUCUUUCUGGCAACUGCAUUUCGAUUUUAAUAUCACUAACUUUGCAGCUAGAAAAAAUAAGUCAGAAAUAAACACGGUCGUAAUAAAAUUUGAAGUUUAAAAAUAGCCUUGAAGUUAUUCUAUGAAUUAACUACCUAUUUCACUAGAAGUGUGUGUUUGAUCCUCUUCCCUUUUUUUUUCUUUUUUUUUUCUUUUUUUUUUUUUGGGUAAAUUACAAUCACCCCCAUAUAUGGUCAAAUUACGAAAACCCCCCUCCCGUUUUGGUAAUUACAACCACCCCUCAACUAUAAAUCUUUUUACACGUCCACCCUUGCGAUUUCAAUUUAGUGGAAUCUUCUAGAUUAUACAGAAUACUCUCAAUUUUGGACCCGUUUUAUCCCAUUCGAGCUCCACAUUUUGAAGCUAGAUGAUCAUAAGGACGUGUUUUUUGGCCUGUUGUAUAUCAGAUUCUGGUGCAUCAGAAACUGUAUUUUUGCACAAAACGAGUACAAACUAGAGAACGUUCCACGGAAUCUAGAUGAUUAUGUUGAAUUUGACACUUAAGAAUGGAGAUGUCAGAAGUUUAUAGUUGAUGGGUAUAAGUAAUUUUUCAAAUAUUGAAGGGUUUUUUCAUAAUUCGACCAUACCUCAGGGGUGGUUGUAAUUUACCCUUUUUUUCGUUUUUUUACCUUUUGUGCUUCAAGCAUAUUCUUUGAUCCUUGCGUUAUUGUGUUCUUGAGUUCUUGAGUUGAGGCAAUCAUCUUCCCCAAUUGUCAAUCAAAAAAAUCAAAUAAACGCCCACUGUUUUCCUCAUCUGUCAUACACAAAUUGAUGAUAUAAUAAAAAAAUAAAUGAAAAAAAUCUGUUAUAC
RNAcentral lists this long non-coding RNA (46910 nucleotides) under Erythranthe guttata (spotted monkey flower). RNAcentral's name for it is "long non-coding RNA (EGUT_LNC001065)". Lineage: Eukaryota; Viridiplantae; Streptophyta; Magnoliopsida; Lamiales; Phrymaceae. The record is from RNAcentral.